This 83766-nucleotide long non-coding RNA is filed under the name Arabidopsis lyrata. Its description in RNAcentral is "long non-coding RNA (ALYR_LNC001945)". Lineage: Eukaryota; Viridiplantae; Streptophyta; Magnoliopsida; Brassicales; Brassicaceae. The record is from RNAcentral.
UCAUUCCCCCAUCCUUGAUGUCUGCCUCCAAUCUAACUUCUCCUUCGUCUAAAAUAUUCGAGUAUAAACCCUUGAUGUGGAUGUCGGAUUCACACACUCAAGUAUUUUUAUUAAGUAGGAAAGAUUACUCUUGAGGGACAAAAACGAAUAUGUAAAAACUUAUGAAUUGCUACGAAAAUUGCUAUAGUAUUUCUUUCUCUAGAGGAAGAUCCCCCUUUUACAUGGUCAUUGACCUUUAUAUUUAUACAUAGAGAAACGACAUUAAAAUGAAUAAUUAUGUACAAUUAUUCCCUCUUAAAUGUGUCCGUUUUGAUCUUUGACUUUAAUGCUCAACGUUUGAAUUUGAGUUGACUCCGAUCUUUAUGGGCCUCGCCUUUUGGCCCAAAUGUCCUUAGGACCGACUUAACCAUGACUUCGUCUCCGGACUCGUGUCGAGGUGUAGUCACUUCGGACUCUCUUCACGUUGACAACCACUCCGACUGUUCUUUUGACUUGUGGGUCUAGUGGGCUUUAUCCUUUAUGGGUCGUUAUCCUGUCUACGUGGCAAUCUUUGGUUGGUCUCGGACUUCUGGUGCGGGAUCCGACACCAACAAUUAGCCCCCCAAGUUCUUCGAAGUGCCAUUCCAAUUCGGAGGACUUUAAAUGCUUGAAUGACCAAAGAUUGCGCUCGAGAAUCUUUCUGAUUUCCCGCCGAAAAUCUCAUCACUCCUUUAAUUUCGGCACUAGCCAUUUUUAUCCGAGUGACAUCUGUCAUCAUUAUGACCGUAUAUUAAUUAUUUACUAUUAAAACGGGAAAAACCUUCCCACUUCCCACACAACUUCCGAGGCGGUUUCAUCAUUUAGUUUGUGUAAGGUAACUUCUUUUCACCAUCAUUUUCUUCUUUUACUUUUGUGCUUUAAUCAAAACUUCUCUCUACUUUUCUUCGCCGAAACUUUCUUCGCCGAACCUUGAAUUUUUCAUUUUCCUCCGAUGACUUCCGAUUCUGAGAGACCUGAAUCUCCGUCUUACGAUGAGAGGCGUUCUAGUAAUGACGAAUGCACUCGUCCUAACGAUAUCGCCGGUCCUCAUUACAAAUCCACCUGUACUCUUCAAUCCCUUGAGCGAUUAAAGGGGCUUUGUCAAAUUCCUCCUGGAAUCAUAGCGGAGGCACAAAUAGCCGAUCCUACGGAAUCCCCGGAGAACCACCGUGAUGUGUAUUUUUUGCGUUUACGAAAUUUACUUCAACGGCUGCGGAUUGACCUUCCCCAUUCCCGAAGCCCUAAUUCGAUUCCUGGCGGCUCUUGAGAUUGCUUUACCUCAACUAACCCCCAAUCUCCUCCGAACCAUCCUCGGGAUUAUAACCGUUGCGGCAGAGGCUGGCUACAUCAUUGGAGUCCCCGAGCUGAAUGAACUUCUAAGUGUGAGAAGUUCGUCAAAGAAAACGGGAUACUUCUCGGCAUACCCAAAUGCAAAUAGAAACGUCAUCUCGCACCUCCCGAACAAGGAUGAAAACUGGCACCAUCCUUGGUUCCUGAUUAAGAAAACUCCUGCUUCGAUUGGGAAUCUUUCCGAUGUACUCCCAUCGAAGUGGUCUACGAAGCCUGGUAGAGACUAGGUCGUAUAUUCCUUUCCUGUUCAUUUUAUUUUUUUUUACUGACCAAAUUCGUUGUUUCACUUCACAGCUCUCAUCGCUUCAACUCUCCCGACUGAAGAAUUUGUCAAGUUCUUCAAAACAAUCCUCGAAGGGGAAACCCUUUGGAAUUCUUUCACCCUCGAUCGGUUUGUCGAGGCCAACCGAAAACUCAGGAUGAGUCCUCCCAAUCUACUUCAUCGUCUUCCGCCUCCUCCCUCAACUCAGGGAAUGUCAGUUCGGGCCCUUACUGCCCAGCGUAAGAAACUCUCUAAGCCGAUAGCAGAGGCUUGUGAUGAAAACAAGGCGUUCCUUGCGGCCGCCAUUGACAAAAAAGAUUACAGCAGGACCCUGCUGGUUGAUGAUAAUAGCUCCGAGGGCGCCAGAUCCGUUGCUGCUUAUAGGCUAACACCUCGUCGUGAACGUCAUGACGAACGUUCUCCUCGGAGAGAGCGGUCUCCUCGUCGUGAUUCUCCUCGUCCUCCCCGAGACGAUUUCAGCAAUGAACCACUUAAGAAUUUGGUUCGUAGGAAGAGGGACAAGUCGUCCCGUAGUGACUCGUCUCCGCGAAGGGAGAAAUCAAGGGCCCGAACUGACCGUUCACCUCGAUCAUCCCCUCCCACUGAACCAAUGGGUCCUCCCCGACUUGUUGACAUGUCUUCUUCUUCCCAGCCCGACAGCGAAAAGACUGCUCGGAGUGCAUCCCCUAAAAAGGGAGAUUCUGAAUCUCGAGAUGCUUCCUCGAGGUUAAAGCCUGCUCUUGUCCCUCAAGUCAAAUCGCUUUCAGGUUUGGUGACUUACACAUACUUAAACGUUUUUGUCUCUAUUAAGAUUCCAAUUUUUACAACUCUUCCUUCUUCGCAGCUAUGGAGAAAGAAGGCAACGUCUUCCGAUGCUUCAAGACCCGAUCGGGUUAUAUCUUGCCAGACUUCGACAAGUGGCGCCCUGCGAUUUGCGAACGCUAUUUGCUUCACGCUCAUCAUUCAUCUCGGGUUAGUUCCGUUUUUUGUUUUUUUUUUUUUUUUUUUUAUGUAUUGCUAUUCUGCAAACUGACUCGCCAUCCCGGGUUUAUAUAUAAUGCUAGGCUCACAGCGAACUUAACGACAUGAUUGAACAUUACGAAGGGUUGGUCAUUGGACGGGAGAAGGAGAUUGACAUGUGGAAGAAGAAAUUCUCAGCUCUUGAGGCUGAACUCAGUUCUUCUGCCGGCUCCAAGCACGAUCUGGAGGACUGAUAUCUCUGUAUUUUACCUCUUUUUAGCACACAUUUCUUAUGCAUUUAUCUUAGUUUACUCUCUGUUUCAUUGCAUUAAUAGUCCUUUUUCAUAAGAUUUUCAUCACUUAGUACGAUUUGCAUUGCAUGGCAUAGCAUGUUGCAUAUUGGAUGAGUUUUAGGUACUUUGGAGCUUAUUUGGGACUUGAUGGAGCAAGGAGGAACCAACACGACCUUGGAGCUAGACUUGGGAUCGAAUUGGAGAGGAAUGAAGUCGUUCAAGAUCACCCAGGAGCAGUCUCGACCUGCAGGCUCUACGACACGUCGAGUAGGACGCCAAGAUGCAGACUGGGAGCAGUCUCGACCUGCAGGCUCUACGACACGUCGAGUAGGACGCCAAGAAGCAGACUGGGAGCAGACUCGACCAGACAGACUCGAUGACACGUCGAGAUGGACGUCAAGGCGCCACCUUUGAAGAUCAGACGGUCUCGACGUGGCUGGCUCGACGUCACGUCGAGUUGGCCUCCACCGACUCUCUAUUUUGUCCUGUAGCCAAUUAGGGCAACCUAGUAUUUCCUAUAAAUAGGGGUACAUGCUAUUGUCCAGAGGAUAUUCUCUUUACCCAGCAGAUAUUCCUUUGUUCUCUCAUAAACCCUAGUUUUUGUAAUCGUUUUUCCUGUUGAUCCUUUGAGUUUUUGGAUUUCGUUUCUUCAUCAAAGUUGUAGAUCUGCCUCUUAUCUAUAACAUACUUGCUUUUUAAUGAUUUCUGGGUUUGAAACGUUUUCUGGGUUUUUAUGCAUGAUGUUCUUCAGUGUUCUUGAGUAGUGGAUUAGGGUUCUUGAGGAUGGGAUAGAUUAGGUGUGGAAUCCUUAGUAUAUUUAGGUGGUUAAGUGUAGAAUUGCUUGAUUUCCCUUCUGGUUUAGUAGAUCUUAAUGCUACUUCCUCUCUGAUCAAUUGGAAGUUGAUCUCAGACAUUUCCACACCCAAAAGGUGUUUGAUGAAAUGUCUGAACCAACUAUUCCAGAGAUUUGCAUACUCUAGCCCAAGAGAUUGGAUGUUUAGAAUGCUUAUUGACUUUAUUAGAUUGAAUCAUAAUGCCUGCUAGGUUAUAUUUCUUCAAUGAGAAUUGGGUAUGAAAGUGAUUUAGCUUGAGAAUCUCUGUCACGAGAGUGGAUUGAUUUGUAUUCGAAUCUAUUGUCUAGGGAUAGCUUGAUUGAGUUUGUUAACCACCUAGCUAGACUAAGGAGACUGCCAUAAUCGAUUACCCCAUUCCUCAGGACCUUUUAUCUCUAUUGAUUGUUUAAAUCUCGUUUCUGUUAGCUUUUGUGACCAUCUCGACCUGUUAGGCCUAGAUCGUUUCUCUGCAUUGUUAGGUUGCUAGUUUCUUUUCCAAAGCUUAUGCAUGAUAGUUUCUGGUCUUUAGUUUACUUCUUGCUCUUGUUUACUCGCUGUUUAGUUCUCUUUUUACGCUUUCGAAUUCGGUAUUUGCAUGUUAAAUUGGUUGCUUAGGAUCAAUAGAAACACACAAAACCCUUUCACAAUUGGCUUGACUUAUUUGCUUUCUGUUUCAUAUCUUGAAUGCUUGCAGUCACACUGAGAUUGGAUUGAUAACCUAAUAUACUACAAUGGCAUGUGUAUUAGGGAUUGAUACCUGUUAGAUAAAGCAAAAUCUAACUAUCAAUUUGGCGCCGUUGCCGGUCUUGUGUUGCAUUGUUCCAUUUAAGAUUUCAGAAACGUUUAAGAUCAAGUUCUUUCUUUACCUUGGUUACUAACUCUUCAUUUCAUCUGCUUGUUUUUGUGCUCCAGGUACCAUCUCGACCUCACGUCGAGAUUGCCACAUCGAGUCUGACCACCCUGCAUUGUUAGGUACCAUCUCGACCUCACGUCGAGCCUGCACAUCGAGACUAACCACUUUGUAUGCAAACUCGUUCUAAAGGCUCCAGCAACCUCAUCAGCUACAAAGACAACAUCAACCAGUUAGCUCGUGAGUUGAAAGAACGUAGAGCCAGAGACGGUUGUGAACUGCACAAUCCAGUAGCCAUGGAACCACAAGAACAAGACAAUCAAGGAGUUGGGAUACCAAGGAACAUUGGUGCUGGGGAUGCACCAAGAAGCCAUCAACAGAGACAGGGCAUAGUUCCACCUCCUGUCCAGAACAACAAUUUCGAGAUCAAGAGUGGAUUGAUCUCAAUGAUACAAGGAAACAAGUUUCAUGGGUUGCCUAUGGAGGAUCCCUUAGACCACUUGGAUAACUUUGACAGGCUCUGCAGCCUCACCAAGAUAAAUGGUGUUAGUGAAGACGGUUUCAAGCUGCGUCUGUUUCCCUUCUCGCUGGGAGACAAAGCACACCAAUGGGAGAAGACACUACCUCCUGACUCCAUAACAUCUUGGGACGAUUGUAAGACGGCCUUCUUGACAAAGUUCUUCUCAAAUUCAAGAACUGCAAGGCUAAGGAAUGAAAUCUCCAGUUUCACCCAGAAACAGUCUGAAUCCUUUUGUGAGGCCUGGGAGAGAUUCAAAGGCUACACUACACAAUGUCCACAUCACGGUUUCAAGAAAGCUUCUUUGCUCAGUACACUCUACAGAGGAGCUCUGCCCAAGUUCAGAAUGGUCCUGGACACUGCUUCAAAUGGGAAUUUCUUGAAUAAGGAUGUUGAAGAAGGUUGGGAUUUGGUUGAGAACUUAGCUCAGUCCGACGGUAAUUAUAAUGAAGAUUUUGAUCGCUCCAACAGAGGUAUUGGAGAUCCGGAUGCAAAGCAUACUAAGGAGAUGAUUCAUGCUCUCAACGAAAAGCUGGAUAAAUUACUGCUUACUCAACAGAAGCCAGUCCACUAUAUCACUGAAGAAGAGCACUAUCAAAUCCAAGAGGGGGAGAAUACUCAGGCUGCAGAAGUCAGCUAUGUUCAGAACCAAGGUGGCUACAACAAGGGCUACAACCCCUACAUGCCUGCUCAUCCUAAUCUAUCUUACCGGAGCACGAAUGUUGCAAACCCUCAAGAUCAGGUUUACCCUCAGCAACAACAGAACCAGUCCAAGCCAUUCAUACCGUACAAUCAAGGCUUUGUCCCAAAGCAGCAGUUUAGUGGCGGUUAUCAACAAUAUAAUCCACCACCCGGUUUUGCACAGCAACCCCAGCCAGCUCCACCUGCACAAGAUCAAGAGAUGAAACAAAUGCUUCAGCAGCUUCUACAAGGUCAAGCAGCUGGUGCUAUAGCUCUUGAUAAGAAAAUGGCUGAGAUUCACAACAAAGUAGACUGCUCCUUCAAUGAUCUCAAUAUCAAGUUUGAGGCUCUAAACUCCAGGUUGAAGUACGUGGAGAGCAAAAUUGCUUCUACUUCUGCGCCUACGAAUCCAGGGCAACUGCCAGGGAAAGCUAUUCAGAAUCAGAAAGGUCAUGUUAAUGCUAUUCACCUUCGCAGUGGUCGAGAGCUGCAAACUCGACCUAGCAUAGCUCCUGUCACUGAGGACAGUGAGAUUCAAGAGGGGGAGGAUUUCAUUCAGCAUGAAACUCAAGUAGAAGACACCACUAAGCUAAACCAAGAGACUGUACCUAGGGAUCAAGCUAAGAGUCCCCAAAUCGAAAAACCAACUGUUGAUAAGAGUAAGAAGAAAGCUUUUAUCCCACCACCCUACAAGCCCAAAAUACCAUUCCCAGGAAGAUUCAAGAGGGAUAUCAUUGAGAAGUACAGAGCCAUGUUUGCUGAACACAUCAAGGAGAUUGAAUUAAGGAUGCCUCUCAUUGAUGCUUUCAUGCUGAUUCCGGAUUCUCACAAAUACUUCAAAGACAUGGUAAUGGAGAGAAUUAAGGAAGUGCAAGGGAUGGAGAGUCAUGAGUGUAGUGAAAUCAUCCAAACGAAGGUUAUUCCCAAGAAAUUAGGAGAUCCUGGUUCGUUUACUCUACCUUGCUCUCUAGGCACUUUAGCCUUUAGUAACUGCCUCUGCGAUCUAGGUGCUUUUAAAAGUCUCAUGCCUCUCUCCGUGGCCAAGAGACUGGGUUUCAGCAAGUAUAAACCUUGCAACAUCUCCUUGAUCCUGGCUGAUGAGUCUGUCAGAUUUCCUCAUGGGUUAUUAGAAGAUUUGCCUAUUAAGAUUGGAAAUGCUGAAAUCCCUACAGACUUCAUAGUGCUAGAAAUGGAUGAACCAAAAGAUCCUUUAAUCUUAGGAAGGCCCUUCUUAGCCACUGCUGGAGCUGUCAUUGAUGUUAAGAAUGGGAAGAUUGAUCUUAAUCUGGGAAAUGAUUUCACAAUGAAGUUUGACAUCAAUGAUGCCACGAGGAAGCCAACGAUUGAAGGACAGACCUUUGUAGUUAAGGUAAUGGAUUGCCUAGCUGAUGAACAGCUAGAGGAGGUUGCUGAGGAAGAUCACCAAAAAACUUCUUUGACUAAGAAUGGUGAAGCAGGAUAUCUUCUCACUGAAACCUUGAGAUGUGGUAAGUCACUAGACUCACACAAGGAAGUAGCAGGGUCAGAGGUCUUUAAAGGCUUGACUGAGCCAGAAACAGAGGUUAAGAUGGCUUAUGAAGCAAGCUCAACACAUGCUCAACCAACUGACUCGAGUAUACAUUUGAGCAAGCCUUCAACUAGUCUGGAGAACUCUAGCUCGACCGAACAUCGUGAUAAGCUGCUAGAGUCUAGCAAUUCUACUCCAGAUGGCUGGUUAGAACUCAAGGAGAGGUCCAAAUGGCAGGAUAAAGCCAUAAGGGAGCUAACAGGCACUGUGAGAGAGCUGAAGGAUCAAAUCAAGAAGCUCCAUGGGAUAGCCAACCAAGUACCACUCCAAAUCAAGGACAUCCCAAAUGAUGAAGCGUCUACUCUGGUCAGCGCAAAGGGGAGUGAAUUCACUUCAGCAUGGUCUAUAGAAGAAGACUAUCCAGUUGCUCAACAAGAAGCUUACUGUGAGAAAAGGGCUAUUGAGUACUCAACUUCAGAUUUAUCAAGAGAGCCUGCUAAGCCAGAUGAUUCAUCCACCUGCAGGACAGAGGAGACCUCUCAACCUUUUGAUUCUUAUGACUAAUAUUUUGCUAUGGAAAAGUCAAGCUAAAGACUUUAAACAAGCUCACUUGGGAGGAAGUUCCAUGUCUAUCCUUGUGAAUAUUAGUUAUUUCCUUGUUAUUUUUGAUGUUUUUGCUUAAGUGUCUCAGGAUAAAGCGUUUUAAGGAAGCCAAGGCGCAAAACAGAAUGAGUUGCCUUGUCUCGAUGUGCCCUACUCGACUACAAGUCGAGCUUGCCCCUUGGAAUGACUCCAAGCAGAAAAAUGAAGCCUACUCGACGUACUAGCUCGACCCAACGUCGAGUUAGCCCAUGAAGCCCACCAGUACCAGGUCAAUCACCUCCUUCUUCACCCAUCCAUGAGGUAACAACUCCAAUUCACCAUUGUAUAUACCGCAUUUCAUUUUUUGUCUCUGUUGGUUUGCCCUGAGUACUCUCUUCCAAAUGCUUGUUACACAGAGGACUGUGUAAUUUAAGUUUGGGGGAGGGCUCAGGGAGUAUUUGACAUUGUGUUUUGUUUUCUUAUUUCAAAUUUUGCAUCAUUGCAUCUAAGGCAUAGAAAAACCAUAAAAAUUUGAAAUUUUUUGAAAAUGAUUUCACAAAAACAGAGUGUUCAUAUAGCUUGCAUUGUCAUUUUAGGAUUGUUUUAGUAUGCUUUCACUUAGGGCUGUUGCAUCAUGCAUUUGCAUUGGAGAUUAUGAUGAUUAUAACCUUGUAAAUAUGCUUAUUCACUAAGUAGAACUCAGUGCCCUGGUUGUUAGUUCUCUAAUGCAUAAUCGACUGAACUUGAAGUAAGACCGCACCAUCUUUUGAAUUCAACGCUUGACUUUCUUGUUUUUAUUCGAAUCUCGCUUUGAUCUGAUGCCAUUCCCUAUCUAUUUGAACUUGAAUUUUGACUUAUAAUUAUCAUGCUGUGCAUUGUGCUUUGAACUCAUGGAUACCUUAAAAUACUUGGACUUUCUUUUACCUUUUGAUCACUCUUGCUAGUCCAAGUAGCUGACUCUCAUCUUUGGAGCAGUUAUUCCUCACCCUUAGCCUUAACCUUCUUUCAAGCCAUUUAUCAUUUGUGUGUGAAUGUGAGGCCUUAUUCCGAUUGAGCUUGGUAGAAAGUGUUAGGUCUGUAACGACAAGGAUAGUAUCUCAUGUAGUUCUGGUUCACGUUAUCUGGACCAGAUAGGACUAGGUGGGUGCUUAAUUCUGGGUUUGGGUUGUGUUUAAAAGAAAGAAAAGGUUGUGUUCAUCAUUGAAAGAAAAGAAAAGGGAAAAGAGUCCUAAGGAGAAGUAGCUAAAGUAAGAGAAGUCUAGUAAAUAAUUUGGGUGUGCUAAAGUAAAGGAAAAAGGGUUCUGUAAAUAGCUUAAAGAGUUUGGGCAAAAGCCUUGUGUUUAUAAGAAGAAUGAAAGGGAACCCUAGUUGUUAAAGAAACCCGAUCCGCUAGACAGAGCAGUAAGAAAGCUUCUCCUAGGAUAGAAAGCAAAGAAAAGAAAGGAAUGAUGUGAGUAAAAGUCUGCAAAUGUUUGGAGUGCAAAAGGGUAGAGUUAAGUUCAUGUUCUGGGAUUAGAAAUAGGACCUCCAUAUGGGUUGAUAUUGGUUACAUUCUGGGUAGAUGGGGUCUUAUCCUUGUAUGCAUAACUUGAUACUCACCUUUAGCAUUCUACUAAAGCUCAAUCAUUCUUGAGAGAUCCCUUGUUGUGAUUUAAACCAGAUCUUUAAGGGACCAUCUUUGUCUCUAAAACCUUUACCCUUUAGCCAAAUGUGUUCAUAUCCAUUGCAUAGUAUGAUUCACGGUUCCUACUUAAUAAAUGUUAAAGGGAAUGUGCAGAUUUGAAUGCUUGUUUUGAUUAAGGCAGAGGUUAGGUUGAGAUGCGAAGGAGAUGGCUAAUGUUUUUAAGUAGGGAUCAGUCAACCUUGCAUUCUAGAAUUAGCAACCUGGACAUUGAGUUCACUUACUCUAUAUGCAUGUUUUGGUUCUGAGUCUCCACUUUCAAACCUCUUCUCCAGCUUGGUUCUAUUUGUUUGCUUGAGGGCAAGCAAGAGCUAAGUUUGGGGGAGUUGAUAUCUCUGUAUUUUACCUCUUUUUAGCACACAUUUCUUAUGCAUUUAGCUUAGUUUCCUCUCUGUUUCAUUGCAUUAAUAGUCCUUUUUCAUAAGAUUUUCAUCACUUAGUACGAUUUGCAUUGCAUGGCAUAGCAUGUUGCAUAUUGGAUGAGUUUUAGGUACUUUGGAGCUUAUUUGGGACUUGAUGGAGCAAGGAGGAACCAACACGACCUUGGAGCUAGACUUGGGAUCGAAUUGGAGAGGAAUGAAGUCGUUCAAGAUCACCCAGGAGCAGUCUCGACCUGCAGGCUCUACGACACGUCGAGUAGGACGCCAAGAUGCAGACUGGGAGCAGUCUCGACCUGCAGGCUCUACGACACGUCGAGUAGGACGCCAAGAAGCAGACUGGGAGCAGACUCGACCAGACAGACUCGAUGACACGUCGAGAUGGACGUCAAGGCGCCACCUUUGAAGAUCAGACGGUCUCGACGUGGCUGGCUCGACGUCACGUCGAGUUGGCCUCCACCGACUCUCUAUUUUGUCCUGUAGCCAAUUAGGGCAACCUUGUAUUUCCUAUAAAUAGGGGUACAUGCUAUUGUCCAGAGGAUAUUCCUUUUACCCAGCAGAUAUUCUUCUUUUCUCUCAUAAACCCUAGUUUUUGUAAUCGUUUUUCCUGUUGAUCCUUUGAGUUUUUGGAUUUCGUUUCUUCAUCAAAGUUGUAGAUCUCCCUCUUAUCUAUAACAUACUUGCUUUUUAAUGAUUUCUGGGUUUGAAACGUUUUCUGGGUUUUUAUGCAUGAUGUUCUUCAGUGUUCUUGAGUAGUGGAUUAGGGUUCUUGAGGAUGGGAUAGAUUAGGUGUGGAAUCCUUAGUAUAUUUAGGUGGUUAAGUGUAGAAUUGCUUGAUUUCCCUUCUGGUUUAGUAGAUCUUAAUGCUACUUCCUCUCUGAUCAAUUGGAAGUUGAUCUCAGAUAUUUUCACACCCAAAAGGUGUUUGAUGAAAUGUCUGAACCAACUAUUCCAGAGAUUUGCAUACUCUAGCCCAAGAGAUUGGAUGUUUAGAAUGCUUAUUGACUUUAUUAGAUUGAAUCAUAAUGCCUGCUAGGUUAUAUUUCUUCAAUGAGAAUUGAGUAUGAAAGUGAUUUAGCUUGAGAAUCUCUGUCACGAGAGUGGAUUGAUUUGUAUUCGAAUCUAUUGUCUAGGGAUAGCUUGAUUGAGUUUGUUAACCACCUAGGUAGACUAAGGAGACUGCCAUAAUCGAUUACCCCAUUCCUCAGGACCUUUUAUCUCUAUUGAUUGUUUAAAUCUCGUUUCUGUUAACUUUUGUGACCAUCUCGACCUGUUAGGCCUAGAUCGUUUCUCUGCAUUGUUAGGUUGCUAGUUUCUUUUCCAAAGCUUAUGCAUGAUAGUUUCUGGUCUUUAGUUUACUUCUUGCUCUUGUUUACUUGCUGUUUAGUUCUCUUUUUACGCUUUCGAAUUCGGUAUUUGCAUGUUAAAUUGGUUGCUUAGGAUCAAUAGAAACACACAAAACCCUUUCACAAUUGGCUUGACUUAUUUGCUUUCUGUUUCAUAUCUUGAAUGCUUGCAGUCACACUGAGAUUGGAUUGAUAACCUAAUAUACUACAAUGGCAUGUGUAUUAGGGAUUGAUGCUUGCAGUCAAUUUAUCUUUCUUAUACUCAGUCAUACACACCAGUCUUGUCAUAUUGGACUCCGCAGAUAAAGGGGGAGCUGCAAGACCAGUAUGACCGGAAUUACAAACUCCAGGAUGAACUUUCUGGUGGUCAGGGUAGACUCCAUGAAUCUGAAUCAACCGCCGAUACCCUAAACAACCAACUUAUCGAGCUUAACGCGAAGUACAAGGCGUUAGCCAAGUUGCGUGAUUCCGAGUUGGCAAGGUCAGCAUCGAAAGCCAGAAAAGAUGUUAAGGGACGCGGGAUGGAGUUGAUCCAGGGGGCCUUCCGCUUCAUUCAAACCGAGAAGGCUAGGUCAGAUCUGGAAUCAGACGUCAAGGAGCACGAGAGCAAUUUGAUUCUGUUGGACCAAAUCCAUGAUGCAGAUUUCUCCGAGGUGCAAGAGAGGGCCGAACUGUCGACCAAUCUUUCUGAAAAGCGGAGUCGUUUGGCAGCUCUUCCCGCUUCGACUUUCAACCCGCAGGACUUUGAGGAAUUCUUCACAGAAUCUCAUCCUAUAAGUGAAUCGGGUCUAGACUGGGCGGGUAACUUUUGGCUCUUGAUACUCAUUACCGUUUCUUACCUUGUACCUUUGAUUGACUGGAAUUAUUUUUUCUAGGCUCAAGUGAGACGGAAGACGUUGUCCCACCCGAAGUUCCUGCGGUGCCGGAGGUCACUCCGGAGGAUGGUUGUACCGCGGAGGGUGGUCCGGGAGCUUCAUCUGAUCAAGCGCCAAUUAAGGAGGCGAGUGAAACUUUGACAGCUGAGCCGGAGUCCGAGGUGGAGGUCGAUCCGUAGUGGCUGUGUCCACUUUAAACUGGGGAUUGUCCCAUUUAGUUUAAACUUAAUUUCGAACUUAUUUUUGGCCUAAGGAGGCUUUAUCAUUUCUUUUGAACAAGAUAUUUGCCUGAGGAGGCUUUUAAACCUUUCUAGGUUAUGACCCAAGGGGGUUUGGUUAAAAUUAUAUGCGGGUUUGCAAAGUCCGCUUUUAACCUUUUGUGGCCUUGUGGUUAUGCUUUUGGGAUUUUUAGGCUGAUCAGACCUUUCCCUUAAGAAUGCGAGAACUGAGCUCGGCUUAAAGCGAGUUCCCCACUUCGGGUUUAGUCAACUCGAUAAAUUUAUUGGGCUUGGGCCUUAGAAACUUUUGUAGUUAAUGCGACGGUUGCUUUUUCCCUUCUUAUUUCUCAAAAGUAGGGAAAACGGCUCGUCUUUAAUGCAAAAACUGCCUUUUCUCGAUUUUCCAAAAAUGGUUUAAACCACUCGGGCACACUACCAUUAUUGGAUUUAUGGUUCCAAGACAAACCCUAAAUCAUUAUAAAUAAAGGCUUACCUAUCUCUAAGAUUUAUUUAAAUACGCUUUUAGAAUCUUACUUGUAGAAUAUUACGAGAAUGGAAAACGAAAAAGUAGCCCCCGUUGAUCCCGGUAGCCCACUCUUCUUGUCCGGCGACGGCUUUGAACCGGCCGGCGUUCUCUUCCCUCACGCCGUCUUUCACUUUCCUUCAAAGGAGAAAAAAGAGGCUUGCGACUUUAUUGACAAGGUUAAUAUCUGUCGUCUUUGAUUAAAAACUUUCUGUUUCUUCUUAUUCAUUCAUCUUUAUGCUAGGUUGCCGACAAACACCGUCGCUUGUGUGAAGAGAGGCAGCGGCUAGGCCUUUAAAGGCAAACACUCGAGGCUCGCAUCGCUCGGGUGGAGAGGAAAAUACGGGCUUUGGAAAGUGACCCCUUUCAAUGGGAAUGGCGGAACUUUGAUUCUGUCGCUGAGAUCCCGAAGAUGCUUCGGAUGUAUCUCCGUGCUAAAGGAGUCCCGGGUCCCGUGAAUGCCCCGGUCUAUACCGUUCCAUCUGACAGCGAAGAAGAAGACGAGGAGGAGGCCAGCACCUGUCGGAAACGCGUUCGGGAUCAUCCCGAAGUGGAUGCCAAGAACAAGGCGUCCACUUCAAAGACUAAACCGGCGAUGAAGGAGCCUGUUCCUGAGCCUCUUCCAUAAAUGUCCUCCAACUUCUUCACUUAUUUUGAACUCGUAACGGGCUUCGGCCCCUUUUUAUUUAUGGAAACAUUUGCAAUUUUCCUUAUUUUUCAAAUAUUCUAGGAGAUGCGUCUUUUAAUGCAGGAUCUGUUCGAGGGCAUAAAUCUCUCCGCGAAUCACUCCAUUCCUAGGAUAGAAUCCGCAGCUAACUUAGGAAUAUGACAUUCCUAUAAAUUACAGUCUCAGCUUCUCUUUUCUCCUCACCAUUCUCUUUCAUUUUAACAGACAUGGAGUUCAACCUUCGAUGUUCAGAAUCUAUGCCCGACUUCUCCAGGAUCGGAAUGAUAAACGAAGACGUUCCAAAUGAGCCAAACAGGCAAACUCCUCCACCUCGCGGCUUCUUCAGAUCUCAGAUCCGAGCUCCAUGUGCUUUGAUCAGGGAUCUCCCCAUUAGAGACCAAGGAACAGCGAUGGCAUUCAUAGAGGCACUCACGCUUCAGCAUCGGAAGCUUACAUUGGAAAAGAGGAGACUCCGGAAGAGAAUUAACCGGAUGCAACGCAGGCUUACUACGGUAUCAAGAGAUCUCCACAUCCUUGAAUCUCACCCCGGAGAAUGGAUAGAACUCGGAAUCUCUGACUUCGCUCGAAUUCCAGACUGCAUGUUGUCAAUCCUUGACCUUGCUGGCCAAGGAGUCGAAGUGUUCUGUUCGUCAACAAGAUCUCCAUAAUCCGAUGUGUACGAUGAGGGAUAUUUUGCCUUAUUUGCUUAAAUAAACGCUCCUUUUCCAAUCUCUUGUAUGUUCGCAUAGCCGAACUUUAUUUGCUUCGCUUGUUCGCACGGUCGAACCUUUUCCUUUAAUACAGAAAUAAAACAAGAUUUUUUAUUAAUAGCUGAACUCGUUUCCGAGCUGCCUACGUACCCAUUUCGGGAUCAAGCCACACCGUAGUUCAUGUACAUAAAAAAUGCAUGUAGCUUUAAACAUAGAACUUCUUUAGGUUGAUCACAUUCCAAGGUCGCUUGACUGGUAUGUCUUCUAAGUCUUUCAGCCUAUAAACACCGUUUCGAACCACUUCGGUAACAAUAUAAGGUCCUUCCCAAUUAAUACCAAGUUUACCGGCGCCUUCUUCUUUUUUAUUGUCAAAAACGCGUCUUAACACAUAAUCUCCCACGAAGAACGGCCUACUUUUGACUUUAGAGUUGUAAUAUCGGGCUGCUGCCUGCUGGUAAUUCUGAAUCCGAAUCAAAGAUUGAUCACGCCUUUCAUUUAUGGUAUCUAGUGAAUCAUUAAGCAUUGCUGAAUUUUCUUCCUCGUUUAACGGUGCUUCUGUUCGGCGAAGUCCGGGCACAUUAAGUUCAGCUGGUACUACCGCCUCCAUGCCAUAAACCAAAGAGAAUGGAGUUUCCCCUGUAGGUCGCCUAGGGGUUGUACGAUAGGCCCACAGGACGGGUUGGAGUUCUUCAUACCAUCCUCCCUUUAGAUGACUUAAGCGUUUCUUGAGAUUGCUCAAUAUCGUCUUGUUCGCGGCUUCAGCUUGACCGUUUCCUUGCGGAUAUCGUGGAGUAGAAUAACUAACUUUGAUUCCCCACUCCGCACAAAAGGCAUCAAACUCGUGUGAAAUGAAUUGUGGUCCAUUAUCAGUAACUAUUUCGUACGGAACUCCAUGUCGACAUAUAAUGUUUUUCCAAAUAAAGGUCUUUACCGCCGAAUCCUUGAUACCAACAUACGCCUCAGCUUCAAUCCAUUUCGAAAAGUAGUCCGUGAGGACUAAAAGGUAUUGUACACCUCGAGUUGAUUUGUGCAACGGUCCAAUGAUGUCCAUUGACCACCUCAUAAACGGGUAUGGGGCUGAAAUGGAGGAGAAUAAUUCCGACGGUUGAUGGAUCAAUGGUGCAUGGAGUUGGCAGCGCUUACAUCUUUGGGCGAACUUAACACAAUCUGUAAUCAUAGUGGGCCAAUAAUAUCCCAUUCUCUUAACUUUAAAAGCCAUAGCCCUUCCUGAUGAAUGACUCCCACAUAAUCCUUCAUGCACUUCGCUCAUAAUGAUUUCGACUUCGGGCCCAAAAAUGCAUAAUAGGUAAGGGUCACUGACACCUCGUCUAUACAAUGUGUCUUUUGAAAGACAAAAUUUCGCGCUAACGAUUCUCAUUUUUCUGGCUUGCCACUUAUUCUUUGGGAGCUCGCCUGUCAUAAUGUAGUGCUUUAUUGGCUCCCUCCAGUCAGCCCCCCAGUCUUUAGCCGGAAUUUGGUCAACCUUGUGAAAUACUCGUGGCUCUGGCUCGGGAUGUUCGUUUGGUUCAAGAACAUCCUCCUCGAUUAACGGCUCGGUUUCUAAUAUUGUUUCUGGAAUCACAUCUUCAGCUAAGACAACGGGUUCCUUGUUAGAUGUAUUUGAUCCCCUUGACUUCCUCCGUUUGUUGGGUGGCGGUUCGAUCUCUGGUUCGCCACGGUCGCGUGCCGCUGCUCGAGACCUUGUAACGACGAGGGUUUCUUUGUUGUCUUGAAUGCUUCGCUCCGAAAUGCAUUCCACUGGAAUAACUCUUUUCAACUCAGGAUCUGAUGUUGACGCCAAUGCGGCAAGUGCAUCCGCAGUUGUAUUCUCUCCCCGAGGUAUGCGGAUUAAUUCGAAUUUCGAGAAAUUUGUAGAUAGAUCCUUCACCACUUCAAGGUACGCUUCCAUUCUUGAGUCUUUGGCUUCAUAAUCUCCAUUAAACUGGUUAACUACUAAUUGCGAAUCGCAAUAAGCCAAUAUUUCCUUAGCUCCAACUCCUUGUGCCAAUCGAAGUCCGGCAAUCAGGGCUUUGUAUUCUGCCUCGUUAUUGGAGGCAUUGAAUAACAAUCGGAACGAUUGUUCUAGAAUUUCUGAUGUUGGAGACUCCAACUUGAUUCCCACUCCGGAUCCUUGCUUUGUUGAAGACCCAUCUACAUGUAAUUUCCAAGUUUGGUUCUCCCGUUGCUCUAUCGUUCCAGGUAUUGGUAGCAUGGUAGCUCGGUUAAGAAAUCUGCUAAAACCUGAGCUUUCAUACAGAUCCGGCUUUUGAAUUCUAUAUCGUACUCGCUUAACUCCACCGCCCAUUUCGCCAAACGUCCGGACUGACUUGGACUAUGAAGAAUUGUUCGGAGUGGUUGGUUGGUUAAUACUUCAACCGGAUGGGAUUGAAAAUAUGGGCGGAGCUUCCGAGCCGAAGUUACCACCGCGAGUGCAAGUUUUUCCAUCAUUGUAUAUCUGGUUUUCGGAUCCGUCAUUGACUUGCUUACGUAGUAGAUUGGUUUUUGCUCCCCACGGUCUUCCCGAACCAAGACUCCACUAACCGCGUGGUUUGAAACCGACAAGUACAAAUAAAGUUUUUCAUCCACUUCCGGUUUGGACAGUAUAGGUGGAGUGGUUAAGUAUGCCUUAAGCUGCCCAAAAGCUUCUUCACACUUCUCAUCCCAAAGGAAUCCUUUGUUCCCUUUUAGAAUUUGGUAGAAAGGUAACGACUUAUCUGUCGAUCUCGAAAUAAAACGAUUCAGAGCCGCAAUACGCCCAGUCAACCGUUGUACUUCUUUGAAGUUUCUUGGAGAUGGCAUGUUUAGAAAGGCGUUAAUUUGAUUUGGAUUGGCUUCAAUCCCUCUUUCUGUCACGAUAUAGCCAAGAAAUUCUCCGGAUGGGACUCCAAAUGUGCACUUCGCCAGAUACCAAAUGAUACGAUCCUCCGGAUGGGACUCCAAAUGUGCACUCCGCUCUGAUACCAAAUGAUACGAUCCUCCCAAGGAUUAUGCACUCUAAGGUGGUGAAAGGGAUAACUUUGCAUCCAAGAGACUGUGAACUCAAAAGGAUCAAAGGUUGUGGAGCGAAUGGUCGCACAAGAGCUGCGGAAGACUCCUGAUUUACCGGUGGAUCGAUUCUUUGGAUAUUACACACCAAAGGAGAUCGAUAACUUGCUGGAUAUGACGCACCAACAAGGAAUGGAUAGAGAGAUGGAUCGAGAGACGCCACAAAGAUCUGUGAAAGGAUCUAUGAUAAGUCUGAACAAGCCAUGAACAUAGAUAUGACACACCAUGAACAUGGAGUUCCAAAAAUUACAAGAUAUCACAUCUUGAAAGAGAGAAACUUCUCUGAUUUUUACUCAACAACAAAACUUACAUUUAUUCAUGAAUUAAGCCUCAUUAUAGAGAGGAGAUACAACAAUUUCGUCCAUAACAUGCAGCACAACUUGGAAAUAGAAAUUCAAACUCUAAAGUGCAUGUAAGAGAGAGAAAAACACUUAAAUAAAUGCUGGUUUGAGGAUGGACGAAAAUCUCUCUUUUCUUCUUGUUUUUGGGCUGAAUCCACUUUGAUGGGCUUCUCUGAUUGACCAAGAUUCCAGAACAAUUUGGUUUGUAGCUUAAUUCAAUCUGGUCUUGUCGGAAUCCUUCUUUGAAUGGGCGUAUGUCUGAAUUCGCGUAAGCUGGAGAUCACCGAUUUUGUAAAUUGCAUAACUCCUUCAUCUGAACUCCGAUUGAUCUGAUUCUUCUUCGAGGAGUUUCGUAAUUGAGCUGAGCACAUUCUCCAACUGGUUUCAUGCAUUAAUUCGCCGUGGUUGAUCAGAUAAUCUUGAUUCAAUGACCACAUAUCCUGCUGCUUCCCAUUAUCAUAUCAUACUCUCCCUCUUGAAAAAGGAUUUGCCCUCAAAUCCGGCUACUGUUCUUCUUCUUUUUUUUUUUUUUCUUUUUUUUUUUUUUUUGAGAAAAAGAAAGGAAUAAAAAUAAAAAAGAAAUAGAAGAUGAAGAGAUGAGGAGAUGAAUGAAAGAAGAUGGAGAGAUGAGAAGAUGAUAGAAUGAUAGAAUGAUAGACCGAGCUUAGAGUGUUGCUCUGAUACCAAAUGAUACGAUCCUCCCAAGGAUUAUGCACUCUAAGGUGGUGAAAGGGAUAACUUUGCAUCCAAGAGACUGUGAACUCAAAAGGAUCAAAGGUUGUGGAGCGAAUGGUCGCACAAGAGCUGCGGAAGACUCCUGAUUUACCGGUGGAUCGAUUCUUUGGAUAUUACACACCAAAGGAGAUCGAUAACUUGCUGGAUAUGACGCACCAACAAGGAAUGGAUAGAGAGAUGGAUCGAGAGACGCCACAAAGAUCUGUGAAAGGAUCUAUGAUAAGUCUGAACAAGCCAUGAACAUAGAUAUGACACACCAUGAACAUGGAGUUCCAAAAAUUACAAGAUAUCACAUCUUGAAAGAGAGAAACUUCUCUGAUUUUUACUCAACAACAAAACUUACUUUUAUUCAUGAAUUAAGCCUCAUUAUAGAGAGGAGAUACAACAAUUUCGUCCAUAACAUGCAGCACAACUUGGAAAUAGAAAUUCAAACUCUAAAGUGCAUGUAAGAGAGAGAAAAACACUUAAAUAAAUGCUGGUUUGAGGAUGGACGAAAAUCUCUCUUUUCUUCUUGUUUUUGGGCUGAAUCCACUUUGAUGGGCUUCUCUGAUUGACCAAGAUUCCAGAACAAUUUGGUUUGUAGCUUAAUUCAAUCUGGUCUUGUCGGAAUCCUUCUUUGAAUGGGCGUAUGUCUGAAUUCGCGUAAGCUGGAGAUCACCGAUUUUGUAAAUUGCAUAACUCCUUCAUCUGAACUCCGAUUGAUCUGAUUCUUCUUCGAGGAGUUUCGUAAUUGAGCUGAGCACAUUCUCCAACUGGUUUCAUGCAUAAAUUCGCCGUGGUUGAUCAGAUAAUCUUGAUUCAAUGACCAUAUAUCCUGCUGCUUCCCAUUAUCAUAUCAUACUCUCCCUCUUGAAAAAGGAUUUGCCCUCAAAUCCGGCUACUGUUCUUCUUCUUUUUUUUUUUUUUCUUUUUUUUUUUUUUUUGAGAAAAAGAAAGGAAUAAAAAUAAAAAAGAAAUAGAAGAUGAAGAGAUGAGGAGAUGAAUGAAAGAAGAUGGAGAGAUGAGAAGAUGAUAGAAUGAUAGAAUGAUAGACCGAGCUUAGAGUGUUGCUCUGAUACCAAAUGAUACGAUCCUCCCAAGGAUUAUGCACUCUAAGGUGGUGAAAGGGAUAACUUUGCAUCCAAGAGACUGUGAACUCAAAAGGAUCAAAGGUUGUGGAGCGAAUGGUCGCACAAGAGCUGCGGAAGACUCCUGAUUUACCGGUGGAUCGAUUCUUUGGAUAUUACACACCAAAGGAGAUCGAUAACUUGCUGGAUAUGACGCACCAACAAGGAAUGGAUAGAGAGAUGGAUCGAGAGACGCCACAAAGAUCUGUGAAAGGAUCUAUGAUAAGUCUGAACAAGCCAUGAACAUAGAUAUGACACACCAUGAACAUGGAGUUCCAAAAAUUACAAGAUAUCACAUCUUGAAAGAGAGAAACUUCUCUGAUUUUUACUCAACAACAAAACUUACUUUUAUUCAUGAAUUAAGCCUCAUUAUAGAGAGGAGAUACAACAAUUUCGUCCAUAACAUGCAGCACAACUUGGAAAUAGAAAUUCAAACUCUAAAGUGCAUGUAAGAGAGAGAAAAACACUUAAAUAAAUGCUGGUUUGAGGAUGGACGAAAAUCUCUCUUUUCUUCUUGUUUUUGGGCUGAAUCCACUUUGAUGGGCUUCUCUGAUUGACCAAGAUUCCAGAACAAUUUGGUUUGUAGCUUAAUUCAAUCUGGUCUUGUCGGAAUCCUUCUUUGAAUGGGCGUAUGUCUGAAUUCGCGUAAGCUGGAGAUCACCGAUUUUGUAAAUUGCAUAACUCCUUCAUCUGAACUCCGAUUGAUCUGAUUCUUCUUCGAGGAGUUUCGUAAUUGAGCUGAGCACAUUCUCCAACUGGUUUCAUGCAUAAAUUCGCCGUGGUUGAUCAGAUAAGCUUGAUUCAAUGACCACAUAUCCUGCUGCUUCCCAUUAUCAUAUUAGUAUAUCUGGUUUCCGGAUCCGUCAUUGACUUGCUUACGUAGUAGAUUGGUUUCUGCUCCCCACGGUCUUCCCGAACCAAGACUCCACUAACCGCGUGGUUUGAAACCGACACGUACAAAUAAAGUUUUUCAUCCACUUCCGGUUUGGACAGUAUAGGUGGAGUGGUUAAGUAUGCCUUAAGCUGCCCAAAAGCUUCUUCACACUUCUCAUCCCAAAGGAAUCCUUUGUUCCCUUUUAGAAUUUGGUAGAAAGGUAACGACUUAUCUGUCGAUCUCGAAAUAAAACGAUUAAGAGCCGCAAUACGCCCAGUCAACCGUUGUACUUCUUUGAAGUUUCUUGGAGAUGGCAUGUUUAGAAAGGCGUUAAUUUGAUUUGGAUUGGCUUCAAUCCCUCUUUCUGUCACGAUAUAGCCAAGAAAUUCUCCGGAUGGGACUCCAAAUGUGCACUUCGCCAGAUACCAAAUGAUACGAUCCUCCGGAUGGGACUCCAAAUGUGCACUCCGCUCUGAUACCAAAUGAUACGAUCCUCCCAAGGAUUAUGCACUCUAAGGUGGUGAAAGGGAUAACUUUGCAUCCAAGAGACUGUGAACUCAAAAGGAUCAAAGGUUGUGGAGCGAAUGGUCGCACAAGAGCUGCGGAAGACUCCUGAUUUACCGGUGGAUCGAUUCUUUGGAUAUUACACACCAAAGGAGAUCGAUAACUUGCUGGAUAUGACGCACCAACAAGGAAUGGAUAGAGAGAUGGAUCGAGAGACGCCACAAAGAUCUGUGAAAGGAUCUAUGAUAAGUCUGAACAAGCCAUGAACAUAGAUAUGACACACCAUGAACAUGGAGUUCCAAAAAUUACAAGAUAUCACAUCUUGAAAGAGAGAAACUUCUCUGAUUUUUACUCAACAACAAAACUUACUUUUAUUCAUGAAUUAAGCCUCAUUAUAGAGAGGAGAUACAACAAUUUCGUCCAUAACAUGCAGCACAACUUGGAAAUAGAAAUUCAAACUCUAAAGUGCAUGUAAGAGAAAGAAAAACACUUAAAUAAAUGCUGGUUUGAGGAUGGACGAAAAUCUCUCUUUUCUUCUUGUUUUUGGGCUGAAUCCACUUUGAUGGGCUUCUCUGAUUGACCAAGAUUCCAGAACAAUUUGGUUUGUAGCUUAAUUCAAUCUGGUCUUGUCGGAAUCCUUCUUUGAAUGGGCGUAUGUCUGAAUUCGCGUAAGCUGGAGAUCACCGAUUUUGUAAAUUGCAUAACUCCUUCAUCUGAACUCCGAUUGAUCUGAUUCUUCUUUGAGGAGUUUCGUAAUUCAGCUGAGAACAUUCUCCAACUGGUUUCAUGCAUAAAUUCGCCGUGGUUGAUCAGAUAAGCUUGAUUCAAUGACCACAUAUCCUGCUGCUUCCCAUUAUCAUAUUAGUAUAUCUGGUUUCCGGAUCCGUCAUUGACUUGCUUACGUAGUAGAUUGGUUUCUGCUCCCCACGGUCUUCCCGAACCAAGACUCCACUAACCGCGUGGUUUGAAACCGACACGUACAAAUAAAGUUUUUCAUCCACUUCCGGUUUGGACAGUAUAGGUGGAGUGGUUAAGUAUGCCUUAAGCUGCCCAAAAGCUUCUUCACACUUCUCAUCCCAAAGGAAUCCUUUGUUCCCUUUUAGAAUUUGGUAGAAAGGUAACGACUUAUCUGUCGAUCUCGAAAUAAAACGAUUAAGAGCCGCAAUACGCCCAGUCAACCGUUGUACUUCUUUGAAGUUUCUUGGAGAUGGCAUGUUUAGAAAGGCGUUAAUUUGAUUUGGAUUGGCUUCAAUCCCUCUUUCUGUCACGAUAUAGCCAAGAAAUUCUCCGGAUGGGACUCCAAAUGUGCACUUCGCCAGAUACCAAAUGAUACGAUCCUCCGGAUGGGACUCCAAAUGUGCACUCCGCUCUGAUACCAAAUGAUACGAUCCUCCCAAGGAUUAUGCACUCUAAGGUGGUGAAAGGGAUAACUUUGCAUCCAAGAGACUGUGAGCUCAAAAGGAUCAAAGGUUGUGGAGCGAAUGGUCGCACAAGAGCUGCGGAAGACUCCUGAUUUACCGGUGGAUCGAUUCUUUGGAUAUUACACACCAAAGGAGAUCGAUAACUUGCUGGAUAUGACGCACCAACAAGGAAUGGAUAGAGAGAUGGAUCGAGAGACGCCACAAAGAUCUGUGAAAGUUUCUAUGAUAAGUCUGAACAAGCCAUGAACAUAGAUAUGACACACCAUGAACAUGGAGUUCCAAAAAUUACAAGAUAUCACAUCUUGAAAGAGAGAAACUUCUCUGAUUUUUACUCAACAACAAAACUUACUUUUAUUCAUGAAUUAAGCCUCAUUAUAGAGAGGAGAUACAACAAUUUCGUCCAUAACAUGCAGCACAACUUGGAAAUAGAAAUUCAAACUCUAAAGUGCAUGUAAGAGAGAGAAAAACACUUAAAUAAAUGCUGGUUUGAGGAUGGACGAAAAUCUCUCUUUUCUUCUUGUUUUUGGGCUGAAUCCACUUUGAUGGGCUUCUCUGAUUGACCAAGAUUCCAGAACAAUUUGGUUUGUAGCUUAAUUCAAUCUGGUCUUGUCGGAAUCCUUCUUUGAAUGGGCGUAUGUCUGAAUUCGCGUAAGCUGGAGAUCACCGAUUUUGUAAAUUGCAUAACUCCUUCAUCUGAACUCCGAUUGAUCUGAUUCUUCUUCGAGGAGUUUCGUAAUUGAGCUGAGCACAUUCUCCAACUGGUUUCAUGCAUAAAUUCGCCGUGGUUGAUCAGAUAAGCUUGAUUCAAUGACCACAUAUCCUGCUGCUUCCCAUUAUCAUAUUAGUAUAUCUGGUUUCCGGAUCCGUCAUUGACUUGCUUACGUAGUAGAUUGGUUUCUGCUCCCCACGGUCUUCCCGAACCAAGACUCCACUAACCGCGUGGUUUGAAACCGACACGUACAAAUAAAGUUUUUCAUCCACUUCCGGUUUGGACAGUAUAGGUGGAGUGGUUAACUAUGCCUUAAGCUGCCCAAAAGCUUCUUCACACUUCUCAUCCCAAAGGAAUCCUUUUUUCCCUUUUAGAAUUUGGUAGAAAGGUAACGACUUAUCUGUCGAUCUCGAAAUAAAACGAUUAAGAGCCGCAAUACGCCCAGUCAACCGUUGUACUUCUUUGAAGUUUCUUGGAGAUGGCAUGUUUAGAAAGGCGUUAAUUUGAUUUGGAUUGGCUUCAAUCCCUCUUUCUGUCACGAUAUAGCCAAGAAAUUCUCCGGAUGGGACUCCAAAUGUGCACUUCGCCAGAUACCAAAUGAUACGAUCCUCCGGAUGGGACUCCAAAUGUGCACUCCGCUCUGAUACCAAAUGAUACGAUCCUCCCAAGGAUUAUGCACUCUAAGGUGGUGAAAGGGAUAACUUUGCAUCCAAGAGACUGUGAGCUCAAAAGGAUCAAAGGUUGUGGAGCGAAUGGUCGCACAAGAGCUGCGGAAGACUCCUGAUUUACCGGUGGAUCGAUUCUUUGGAUAUUACACACCAAAGGAGAUCGAUAACUUGCUGGAUAUGACGCACCAACAAGGAAUGGAUAGAGAGAUGGAUCGAGAGACGCCACAAAGAUCUGUGAAAGGAUCUAUGAUAAGUCUGAACAAGCCAUGAACAUAGAUAUGACACACCAUGAACAUGGAGUUCCAAAAAUUACAAGAUAUCACAUCUUGAAAGAGAGAAACUUCUCUGAUUUUUACUCAACAACAAAACUUACUUUUAUUCAUGAAUUAAGCCUCAUUAUAGAGAGGAGAUACAACAAUUUCGUCCAUAACAUGCAGCACAACUUGGAAAUAGAAAUUCAAACUCUAAAGUGCAUGUAAGAGAGAGAAAAACACUUAAAUAAAUGCUGGUUUGAGGAUGGACGAAAAUCUCUCUUUUCUUCUUGUUUUUGGGCUGAAUCCACUUUGAUGGGCUUCUCUGAUUGACCAAGAUUCCAGAACAAUUUGGUUUGUAGCUUAAUUCAAUAUGGUCUUGUCGGAAUCCUUCUUUGAAUGGGCGUAUGUCUGAAUUCGCGUAAGCUGGAGAUCACCGAUUUUGUAAAUUGCAUAACUCCUUCAUCUGAACUCCGAUUGAUCUGAUUCUUCUUCGAGGAGUUUCGUAAUUCAGCUGAGCACAUUCUCCAACUGGUUUCAUGCAUAAAUUCGCCGUGGUUGAUCAGAUAAGCUUGAUUCAAUGACCACAUAUCCUGCUGCUUCCCAUUAUCAUAUCAUACUCUCCCUCUUGAAAAAGGAUUUGCCCUCAAAUCCGGCUAAGUUUCUUGGAGAUGACAUGUUUAGAAAGGCGUUAAUUUGAUUUGGAUUGGCUUCAAUCCCUCUUUCUGUCACGAUAUAGCCAAGAAAUUCUCCGGAUGGGACUCCAAAUGUGCACUUCGCCAGAUACCAAAUGAUACGAUCCUCCGACCGAGCUUAGAGUGUUGCUCUGAUACCAAAUGAUACGAUCCUCCCAAGGAUUAUGCACUCUAAGGUGGUGAAAGGGAUAACUUUGCAUCCAAGAGACUGUGAACUCAAAAGGAUCAAAGGUUGUGGAGCGAAUGGUCGCACAAGAGCUGCGGAAGACUCCUGAUUUACCGGUGGAUCGAUUCUUUGGAUAUUACACACCAAAGGAGAUCGAUAACUUGCUGGAUAUGACGCACCAACAAGGAAUGGAUAGAGAGAUGGAUCGAGAGAUGCCACAAAGAUCUGUGAAAGGAUCUAUGAUAAGUCUGAACAAGCCAUGAACAUAGAUAUGACACACCAUGAACAUGGAGUUCCAAAAAUUACAAGAUAUCACAUCUUGAAAGAGAGAAACUUCUCUGAUUUUUACUCAACAACAAAACUUACUUUUAUUCAUGAAUUAAGCCUCAUUAUAGAGAGGAGAUACAACAAUUUCGUCCAUAACAUGCAGCACAACUUGGAAAUAGAAAUUCAAACUCUAAAGUGCAUGUAAGAGAGAGAAAAACACUUAAAUAAAUGCUGGUUUGAGGAUGGACGAAAAUCUCUCUUUUCUUCUUGUUUUUGGGCUGAAUCCACUUUGAUGGGCUUCUCUGAUUGACCAAGAUUCCAGAACAAUUUGGUUUGUAGCUUAAUUCAAUCUGGUCUUGUCGGAAUCCUUCUUUGAAUGGGCGUAUGUCUGAAUUCGCGUAAGCUGGAGAUCACCGAUUUUGUAAAUUGCAUAACUCCUUCAUCUGAACUCCGAUUGAUCUGAUUCUUCUUUGAGGAGUUUCGUAAUUCAGCUGAGAACAUUCUCCAACUGGUUUCAUGCAUAAAUUCUCCGUGGUUGAUCAGAUAAGCUUGAUUCAAUGACCACAUAUCCUGCUGCUUCCCAUUAUCAUAUUAGUAUAUCUGGUUUCCGGAUCCGUCAUUGACUUGCUUACGUAGUAGAUUGGUUUCUGCUCCCCACGGUCUUCCCGAACCAAGACUCCACUAACCGCGUGGUUUGAAACCGACACGUACAAAUAAAGUUUUUCAUCCACUUCCGGUUUGGACAGUAUAGGUGGAGUGGUUAAGUAUGCCUUAAGCUGCCCAAAAGCUUCUUCACACUUCUGAGUGUUGCUCUGAUACCAAAUGAUACGAUCCUCCCAAGGAUUAUGCACUCUAAGGUGGUGAAAGGGAUAACUUUGCAUCCAAGAGACUGUGAGCUCAAAAGGAUCAAAGGUUGUGGAGCGAAUGGUCGCACAAGAGCUGCGGAAGACUCCUGAUUUACCGGUGGAUCGAUUCUUUGGAUAUUACACACCAAAGGAGAUCGAUAACUUGCUGGAUAUGACGCACCAACAAGGAAUGGAUAGAGAGAUGGAUCGAGAGACGCCACAAAGAUCUGUGAAAGGAUCUAUGAUAAGUCUGAACAAGCCAUGAACAUAGAUAUGACACACCAUGAACAUGGAGUUCCAAAAAUUACAAGAUAUCACAUCUUGAAAGAGAGAAACUUCUCUGAUUUUUACUCAACAACAAAACUUACUUUUAUUCAUGAAUUAAGCCUCAUUAUAGAGAGGAGAUACAACAAUUUCGUCCAUAACAUGCAGCACAACUUGGAAAUAGAAAUUCAAACUCUAAAGUGCAUGUAAGAGAGAGAAAAACACUUAAAUAAAUGCUGGUUUGAGGAUGGACGAAAAUCUCUCUUUUCUUCUUGUUUUUGGGCUGAAUCCACUUUGAUGGGCUUCUCUGAUUGACCAAGAUUCCAGAACAAUUUGGUUUGUAGCUUAAUUCAAUCUGGUCUUGUCGGAAUCCUUCUUUGAAUGGGCGUAUGUCUGAAUUCGCGUAAGCUGGAGAUCACCGAUUUUGUAAAUUGCAUAACUCCUUCAUCUGAACUCCGAUUGAUCUGAUUCUUCUUCGAGGAGUUUCGUAAUUGAGCUGAGCACAUUCUCCAACUGGUUUCAUGCAUAAAUUCGCCGUGGUUGAUCAGAUAAGCUUGAUUCAAUGACCACAUAUCCUGCUGCUUCCCAUUAUCAUAUUAGUAUAUCUGGUUUCCGGAUCCGUCAUUGACUUGCUUACGUAGUAGAUUGGUUUCUGCUCCCCACGGUCUUCCCGAACCAAGACUCCACUAACCGCGUGGUUUGAAACCGACACGUACAAAUAAAGUUUUUCAUCCACUUCCGGUUUGGACAGUAUAGGUGGAGUGGUUAAGUAUGCCUUAAGCUGCCCAAAAGCUUCUUCACACUUCUCAUCCCAAAGGAAUCCUUUGUUCCCUUUUAGAAUUUGGUAGAAAGGUAACGACUUAUCUGUCGAUCUCGAAAUAAAACGAUUAAGAGCCGCAAUACGCCCAGUCAACCGUUGUACUUCUUUGAAGUUUCUUGGAGAUGGCAUGUUUAGAAAGGCGUUAAUUUGAUUUGGAUUGGCUUCAAUCCCUCUUUCUGUCACGAUAUAGCCAAGAAAUUCUCCGGAUGGGACUCCAAAUGUGCACUUCGCCAGAUACCAAAUGAUACGAUCCUCCGGAUGGGACUCCAAAUGUGCACUCCGCUCUGAUACCAAAUGAUACGAUCCUCCCAAGGAUUAUGCACUCUAAGGUGGUGAAAGGGAUAACUUUGCAUCCAAGAGACUGUGAACUCAAAAGGAUCAAAGGUUGUGGAGCGAAUGGUCGCACAAGAGCUGCGGAAGACUCCUGAUUUACCGGUGGAUCGAUUCUUUGGAUAUUACACACCAAAGGAGAUCGAUAACUUGCUGGAUAUGACGCACCAACAAGGAAUGGAUAGAGAGAUGGAUCGAGAGACGCCACAAAGAUCUGUGAAAGGAUCUAUGAUAAGUCUGAACAAGCCAUGAACAUAGAUAUGACACACCAUGAACAUGGAGUUCCAAAAAUUACAAGAUAUCACAUCUUGAAAGAGAGAAACUUCUCUGAUUUUUACUCAACAACAAAACUUACUUUUAUUCAUGAAUUAAGCCUCAUUAUAGAGAGGAGAUACAACAAUUUCGUCCAUAACAUGCAGCACAACUUGGAAAUAGAAAUUCAAACUCUAAAGUGCAUGUAAGAGAGAGAAAAACACUUAAAUAAAUGCUGGUUUGAGGAUGGACGAAAAUCUCUCUUUUCUUCUUGUUUUUGGGCUGAAUCCACUUUGAUGGGCUUCUCUGAUUGACCAAGAUUCCAGAACAAUUUGGUUUGUAGCUUAAUUCAAUCUGGUCUUGUCGGAAUCCUUCUUUGAAUGGGCGUAUGUCUGAAUUCGCGUAAGCUGGAGAUCACCGAUUUUGUAAAUUGCAUAACUCCUUCAUCUGAACUCCGAUUGAUCUGAUUCUUCUUUGAGGAGUUUCGUAAUUCAGCUGAGAACAUUCUCCAACUGGUUUCAUGCAUAAAUUCGCCGUGGUUGAUCAGAUAAGCUUGAUUCAAUGACCACAUAUCCUGCUGCUUCCCAUUAUCAUAUCAUACUCUCCCUCUUGAAAAAGGAUUUGCCCUCAAAUCCGGCUACUGUUCUUCUUCUUUCUUUUUUUUUUCUUUUUUUUUUUUUUUUGAGAAAAAAGAAAGGAAUAAAAAUAAAAAAGAAAUAGAAGAUGAAGAGAUGAGGAGAUGAAUGAAAGAAGAUGGAGAGAUGAGAAGAUGAUAGAAUGAUAGAAUGAUAGACCGAGCUUAGAGUGUUGCUCUGAUACCAAAUGAUACGAUCCUCCCAAGGAUUAUGCACUCUAAGGUGGUGAAAGGGAUAACUUUGCAUCCAAGAGACUGUGAACUCAAAAGGAUCAAAGGUUGUUGAGCGAAUGGUCGCACAAGAGCUGCGGAAGACUCCUGAUUUACCGGUGGAUCGAUUCUUUGGAUAUUACACACCAAAGGAGAUCGAUAACUUGCUGGAUAUGACGCACCAACAAGGAAUGGAUAGAGAGAUGGAUCGAGAGACGCCACAAAGAUCUGUGAAAGGAUCUAUGAUAAGUCUGAACAAGCCAUGAACAUAGAUAUGACACACCAUGAACAUGGAGUUCCAAAAAUUACAAGAUAUCACAUCUUGAAAGAGAGAAACUUCUCUGAUUUUUACUCAACAACAAAACUUACUUUUAUUCAUGAAUUAAGCCUCAUUAUAUAGAGGAGAUACAACAAUUUCGUCCAUAACAUGCAGCACAACUUGGAAAUAGAAAUUCAAACUCUAAAGUGCAUGUAAGAGAGAGAAAAACACUUAAAUAAAUGCUGGUUUGAGGAUGGACGAAAAUCUCUCUUUUCUUCUUGUUUUUGGGCUGAAUCCACUUUGAUGGGCUUCUCUGAUUGACCAAGAUUCCAGAACAAUUUGGUUUGUAGCUUAAUUCAAUCUGGUCUUGUCGGAAUCCUUCUUUGAAUGGGCGUAUGUCUGAAUUCGCGUAAGCUGGAGAUCACCGAUUUUGUAAAUUGCAUAACUCCUUCAUCUGAACUCCGAUUGAUCUGAUUCUUCUUCGAGGAGUUUCGUAAUUCAGCUGAGCACAUUCUCCAACUGGUUUCAUGCAUAAAUUCGCCGUGGUUGAUCAGAUAAGCUUGAUUCAAUGACCACAUAUCCUGCUGCUUCCCAUUAUCAUAUUAGUAUAUCUGGUUUCCGGAUCCGUCAUUGACUUGCUUACGUAGUAGAUUGGUUUCUGCUCCCCACGGUCUUCCCGAACCAAGACUCCACUAACCGCGUGGUUUGAAACCGACACGUACAAAUAAAGUUUUUCAUCCACUUCCGGUUUGGACAGUAUAGGUGGAGUGGUUAAGUAUGCCUUAAGCUGCCCAAAAGCUUCUUCACACUUCUCAUCCCAAAGGAAUCCUUUGUUCCCUUUUAGAAUUUGGUAGAAAGGUAACGACUUAUCUGUCGAUCUCGAAAUAAAACGAUUAAGAGCCGCAAUACGCCCAGUCAACCGUUGUACUUCUUUGAAGUUUCUUGGAGAUGGCAUGUUUAGAAAGGCGUUAAUUUGAUUUGGAUUGGCUUCAAUCCCUCUUUCUGUCACGAUAUAGCCAAGAAAUUCUCCGGAUGGGACUCCAAAUGUGCACUUCGCCAGAUACCAAAUGAUACGAUCCUCCGGAUGGGACUCCAAAUGUGCACUCCGCUCUGAUACCAAAUGAUACGAUCCUCCAACAUAUCAUCUAUGUAGACUUCCAUUGUUCUCCCGAGAUGAUUAUGGAACAUUUUGUUAACCAACCGUUGAUAAGUUGCUCCUGCAUUUUCAAACCAAAAGGCAUUACCUUGUAACAAUAGAUACCCCUAUCAGUGAUAAAUGACGUUUUUUCUUGGUCUUCGGGGUUCAUCAUUAUUUGAUUAUAACCCGAGAAGGCGUCCAUGAAUGUUAACAGCUCGUUCCCAGCGGUGGACUCUACAAGUCGAUCUAUAUGUGGGAGCGGGAAACUGUCUUUGGGACAUGCUUUAUUGAGGUCUGUGAAGUCGAUGCAAACCCUAUCUUUCCCAUUCUUCUUCUUGACAACGAUAGUGUUUGCUAUCCAUUCCGGAUAUUGCACUUCUCUUAUGGACCCUAUCUUCAAAAGUUUAUCCACUUCGUCAUUUACUAUUUUUGCUCGUUCCACUCCAAGCUUUCUUCUUUUUUGUUUCACCGGUUUGAAGCUUGGAUCCACAUUUAGUUCAUGACAAAUUAUACUUGGAUUUAUGCCAGGCAUGUCCGCUGCUGACCAUGCAAACGAUGUUUUGUUUUUCCUUAAGAGUUCAAUCAAAGCUUCUUUUAUUUGGCCAGUCAAAGUUGCCCCAAUUCGAAUUUUCCGGUCCGGCUUGUCUUCUUCCAACACCACUUCGAUUACUACAUCGUCUUUCUUCUGCCCGCUAGGAAAUUUUGUUCUUAGUCCCUCUUUUGCGGGCUUCGUUAAUUGCUAUUGAAUCUUCAUACGGUGGCUAGCUAGAUAACACGUCCAUGAAGCUUCUUGAUCUCCCCGAAUUGUUUCCACUCCUCUUGAUGUUGGAAAUUUGAUACAUUGAUGAUAUGUAGAGGGGACUGCUUUCAUUUGAUAAAUCCAGGGAGUCCCGAGGAUGAUGUUGUAAGCUGCGGGCUUAUCGAAGACAACGAAGUCCACGAUCUUCGAUACCUUUUUGGCAAGGACCGGUAGCUUGAUUGUCCCGAGAGACAUGGCUGACUCACUUGUGAAUGCAACUAAUGGGGACGGAGGCCCCACUAUGUCCGCCCGACUAAUUCCCAUUCUUUCUAAAGUACUUAAAAAGAUCAAAUCGACCGAACUGCCUGUAUCUAUAAGGAUCCUUGAUACUUCGAAGUUGGCAACAUCAAGGGUAAUGACUAGAGCAUCAUCAUGAGGUCUUUCGAGGUACCGCGUUUCUUCUUCAUUAAAUGAUAUUGAUGCACCUUGAAAAUCGACUUCUUCGUUUAAGCUUGCUUUGAGUAGGACAUUUCGUCUAUGUUUCUUGAUGGAACUUAUCGAAUCUCCGCAAAAUUUGGAACCUCCUAGAAUAACAUUGAUCUUACCCUUAGAAUUCCUUGGUUCUUCCUCGUUGGUUAACCUUGGUCUUUUGGAAUUUUGAUCUUUGGAACUUUCCUUUGCUUCGUGGUAUUCCUUCACAAAAUCUUUUAUAUCGAAUUUGGAAAGAUCUCCACUGGCCCAAAGCUCUGCGAGGUGCCUUUUAAGAACGCUACAAUCCUUGGUUAAAUGUCCGGUUACUUUAUGAAUGUCGCAAUAUAGACUUUCAUCACGGACCCAAGUGUUUGAUCUUCCUUUCCCUUGGAAUUGCUUUCCGACGGUACUGUUGAAGGGUUGCGAUCCAAAUUUCUUUGGUCCUUUGUUCUCCCUGGGUUCGAACUUUUUGGUAGGGACGGUGAUUGCCGGCUUCUCUUGCUUAUUUCUUUUGGCAAAACUUUCUUUUUCGUCUUCUACCUCCAUCCAGUUGUUUGCGCGGAAGAGUGCAUCCUGGAUUGUGUCUGGUUUAUGAAGUAUUAAAUCUUCUUUAAAUCUUGAAUCAUGUCGCAAUCCUUUUCGUAAGGUAGAUAAAGCUGAUUGUUGUGAGAUUCUUGGGAGCUUUGACAGCACUCCUUUGAACUUGGUGAUGAAAACUCGAAGUGAUUCAUUUGAUCCUUGCGAUAAGUUCCAAAGAUCGGCAUCCGAAACGCUUUUAUCCAUAAGGAUGGAAUAUUGCUUUAAGAAUACAGCUGAUAGCUCGUCGAAAUUGCUGAUCGAACCCGGUUCUAAUUGGGUGAACCACAUUAAAACUUGGCCGCAUAGAUUUUCCGAAAAAAGCUUGCAGUAACCUGCAUCCUCAUCAGCUUCAUCCAAUUCGACUCUUCCAGCAGCGAUCAGAAAAGCUGCGAGAUAACUCUUUGGAUCUUCCAACCCGCUGUAAGGGUCCAACUUGAGUUUUCGGGAAUCUUUGAUUCUCAAACUCGCGAUUCGCGAGAUGAAAGGUGUUCGCCUAGCUUCUUCAAUGACUCGAUUGAUGUCUGGCUCCGAACUCGUAGCUUGAUGGAACUUUGACUUCAUUUCUUUUAGUUCUUGGCUAACCUUCCUCAUAGUCUCGAACUGGUCGAGGUUUUCUUGCUCGUAUUGAUCUGCAAGUUGAACUUCAUCUUCGAGCUGUGCCUCUCCAUCCGAUGGUUGAACUACAUUAUUAGUAGCACCAGGAGUUGUUUGUCCGCUGGUUUCAUUUCGCGCAACGGAACUUGGCGAGUUGAGUAUCCUCCUUCGGAUUCCCACAGGAUUUCCUGCACUUAAAGAGCGAACACGAGUUUGUAUAGUAUUGACGUUUUGACUAAGAGAUACCGGGGACGUUUGCAACGUAUCGUCGGCCUUUUCCACAUCCGAGAACUUUUGUGAUAUGUCCGACAUGGUUUGCUGCAUAGCUUUGAGGGUUUCGGCCAAUGAUGUCUCAACGGCGUCUCCUCCGGACAUUGUUGCUUAUCUCGGAAACGUAGUAACGAAAAAAUCUGACCACUCAAGAAUCCUCUGUCCCCACAGACGGCGCCAAAAUGUGGAUGUCGGAUUCACACACUCAAGUAUUUUUAUUAAGUAGGAAAGAUUACUCUUGAGGGACAAAAACGAAUAUGUAAAAACUUAUGAAUUGCUACGAAAAUUGCUAUAGUAUUUCUUUCUCUAGAGGAAGAUCUCCCUUUUACAUGGCCAUUGACCUUUAUAUUUAUACAUAGAGAAACGACAUUAAAAUGAAUAAUUAAGUACAAUUAUUCCCUCUUAAAUGUAUCCGUUUUGAUCUUUGACUUUAAUGCUCAACGUUUGAAUUUGAGUUGACUCCGAUCUUUAUGGGCAUCGCCUUUUGGCCCAAAUGUCCUUAGGACCGACUUAACCAUGACUUCGUCUCCGGACUCGUGUCGAGGUGUAGUCACUUCGGACUCUCUUCACGUUGACAACCACUCCGACUGUUCUUUUGACUUGUGGGUCUAGUGGGCUUUAUCCUUUAUGGGUCGUUAUCCUGUCUACGUGGCAAUCUUUGGUUGGUCUCGGACUUCUGGUGCGGGAUCCGACACCAACACUUGAGACUCUCAGCUAGUUGGCUGUCCCAUCUCUCUUCGCUCCUAUCCCUUGAGGUUCUCUUCUCAUCAUCUUCCUUUUCUUUUGCCCAACUAGGGAUUUUCACUGCACCACCUCUAUCUGUUUCGCUGUCUUCUCCCUCAGACAAUUUUUUCUGCGAAAAGCUAACAGGAACACUUCCUUGUAUAUGGACAUGACCAUUUUGGACAAAUGGUUCAAAGUUGGAGUUGAAAAGAAAACGACUGUUAGAUGUAAGAGAAGCAAAAACUUCAGCUCGUCCAAGGUCUAUACCACCAACAGCACCAUCCAAUAAUCUAACUUGUACAUCACAUUCUGGUUUUUCAAGACUCCCUCUAAGAUCCCCUUCCAUGUGCAAAAUGCCUUUGAUUGGUGACAAGAGUUUCCUCAAAGAGUGAACAAGAUCAGUAGCUGAUGAUUCAACAACCUCAACCAAGGUAGGUAUCAAACUAACAGGGAAAUUCAGAACAGCAAAAUGAAGAUUGGUUUUUGGCCCCAAUAAGGUCCCAUCUGCAUGCAGUGUAGCGUUUCCUUUUUGAAUAAGCAUCUCCUUAAGACGUAAACCAUCAUCAUUGCUAUACGAACCAGUAGCCAGAACACGCUGUGUUUUGUAAGUCCCCCACUCCCAAUCAUCUCCAUGGAAGUCAAAUUCUGCCUGAUAUUAGAUGUAAGAGGAAAACGUUUAAACAAGACAUCACUAGAAAUUCUCACGUAAUUAUACCACUCAUAAAAAGACUUUUUUAAGACAAUUGCACCCGUCACCUUGGACAAGAAAACUUACGAAAACCAAUUUGGAGUCCUUAACCCUUUAAUUUUAAAAACGAGAUGACAGAGUUAUUUAUAUACCAAAGUGUCUCCAUUGCCUCCACCACUAGCAUCAAGCGAACCAUGCCAAUGACCUUUGAGCUCAGCUAAACCUGGAAGACUUAGAUCUUCAGGAACGACUUCACUUGGUGGAGUAUAAUACCCACGUAUCUCCUGAUUUUAAGGAACCAUAAAAUUCAGCAUAGGAAAAAAACUAAAGGCGACUUAAUGGUACCUACUCUGUUUUUUUUGUUUGUAUUAUAGAAUCUGCUUUCUGUGUCAGAAGCCUGUUAGCUACUUCGAAUGAAGGAAAGGCAUAAUAUUUGGUGCAUUACCUCGAGCAAGUCUCGAAGAUUUUCAGCUUGCAGACAGAGAUUUUGUUGAUGUAUUCUUAAUGAGUUUUAUAUCAAGAUGAAGAGAAACAGAAAGCGACAUUUAUAGAAGGCGAAGAGUGAAGAUGAAGCUGCUGAAGUAGUCGUUGAACUAGUUCAGAGUAGUACAAGAAGUAGUUCAACAGAAUAGAAUUACGUGAAGCAAGUAUUUGGAAAUUGGUAAAGUCGGUCUAUGGCGGUUGGCUGUGGAUACUAGAAGCUUGGAGAAGAUUCUAGAAGACUGAAGAGUUUCCUUUUCAUAGGAAGAAAUGGAAACAUGAAGAGAAAGGACAAUUUCCUUAUCCUUAAGAAAAAGGAAAUUGUCUAUUCCUAUUAGUGUUAGAAUAGGAAAUCGGCUUGUUGUAUAGCCACGACCUAUUUAGUAUAAAUAGGGGGCUUAGGCUUUAGAAAAGGAGAGCACAAGAGAGAAAGAGAAUUCUUAGACAUUAAGGUUAUGGGGUUUCUUGUGAGAAAGCAUAAUGCUUAAGAGGGCUAAGGGAUUUGUCUUUAGAGAGUUCUAGAUCGGGUUGUGAUCUAAGAACGAGAGAUUGAGAGAAUAGAAAAUAGUUUAAGGAAGACCUUGUAAACGUAUUUUCUAUUAAUCAAAAGAGUUUUAAGAAGAAAUUCUUGUCUCAGCUUGUGACUCAGUUCCUGACUCAGUUUCUGUCUUAUAUCGUGAGCUAGUUCUCAAGUACUUAAUAGCUCUUGCACUUUCAAUUGGUAUCAGAGCGGUCACUUGUGAGGAUUGCAUACAGGUGAGAUCUUGUGGAGAAGAUGGAGAGUUAUCAUGGACUUGACAUCGGAUCAAGAGUAAUAUUGAAUGAUGGAAACUAUGGUUUUUGGAAAUCAAGGAUGAAGGCGGUUAUAAGAGGCAUUGAUGUCUAUGCUUGGAAAGCCAUAUUGGAAAAGUGGGAAGAACCAAAAAUCAAGGAUGAAUCAGGAGCCGAGGUUGCUAAACCGGAGAAGGACUGGACUAAUGAUGAAUUGAAAAAAUCAAAGUACAACGCAAAGGCACUCACCGCUAUUCACAUUAAUGUUGGAAGAAACCAGUUCGAACUAAUUCAGGGAUGUGAAACAGCAAAAGAAGCUUGGGAUAUCUUGCAAAAUCACUUUGAAGGAACCACAAAGGUGAAGAACUCAAGGAAAGACAUGUUGGCCUCAAGAUUCGAAAAUCUGAAGAUGGAAGAACGUGAUUCAAUUUCUGAUUUUAGUUCAAAGAUAAGUUCUCUAGCUCAAGAAGCAUUGACACUUGGAAAGAAGUACAAAGAUAAGAAACUAGUCAAGAAGUUUCUACGAUGUUUACCUUCAAGAUUCAUGGCAUACAAAACUGCCUUAAGUGUGUCACAUAACACGGAAGACCUUAGCUUUGGAGAUGUGGUCGGAAUGCUUCAAGCUCAUGAGAUGGAACUAGAGGGUGUGAAGAAAGUGAAAAAUCCAAAGGAUUUGGCAUUAACUUCUCUUGAAAAGAAAACUCAAAAGGCAGAAGAAGAUGAUCCUAAAAGUUUGUUGUUUCAAAGACUUGAUCAACUAUUAAGGAAGGUUGAAGAAGAACAAGGACAGAGGAGGUUCAGCUCAAGCAAAAAAUAUCCAGAAGAAGGUAAAAUUAUUAAGAAGGCAAAUAUGCAAUGUCAUGAGUGCUUAGGGUAUGGACACUUCAAAUAUGAAUGUCCUACAUUCAAGAAAAAGGAUGUAAAGUGUUUUGGGUGCAAAGGUAUUGGACAUACUCAGCAUGAAUGUGUUAGUAAUCAGAAAAUAAGAAAAGAAAAAUCAAUACAGAGAAUAGACGAUGAUUCAGAGGAAGAAAGUGAUGUUGAAGAAGAAGUAAAUCAUUUUGUUACACUUUUGGGAAAAGCUGAAUUUGAAGGUGGUAAAGAAGUGUUAGGGUCUGAGUCUGAAGAAGAACAUGAAGUUGACUUUGCUGAAUGUUAUAAGGAGGUACAUGAGACACUGAUUAAGAUUGGACAAGAAACUCAAGCCUUAGUAAAAGAAAAGCGUCGUCUUGACGAACUUGUUGAGUUACUACAGAAUGAACUGAGGGAUAAAACAAAAAUCUGUCAAGAAAGUAUGAAGGGCAAGCUGACUGUUUCUACAAGAGUAGGAAAAUCUAACAGAGGUUUGGGAUAUACUGGACAAAAAGGAUCUCAAACAGGGCAAAUCAUGUUUGUAGCUGAAAGUGUCUCUCCACCAAAUCCAAACAAAUAUGAAAGUAAUGCAUCCAAAGGAACUGGAUGUUAUUUUUGUGGAAAGAAUGGGCACAUUAAAGCAUAUUGCUACAGAUUCAGAGACAGAAUAAGUAGACUCAAACAUCAAGGGAAAUUUUCCUGGAAUGGAUUCCGAAGUCAAAUAUGGGUGAAGAAAUCUGAUCUUUAUCAGAUUACAUCAGAACAUACGUCAGGAAGGAUAGAAAGUAAGUCUGGAAAAUCAAGAAGUACGUCAAGAAGUGGAUAUUCUCGUAAUAUGACUGCAACUGCUACAGAGACUGCAACUGCUACAGAAACUGCAACUGCUACAGAAACUGCAACUGCAGCAGAACCUGCAACAGAACCUACAGCAGAACCUGCAACAGAACCUGCAGUAGAACCUGCAACAGUACCUGCAUUAAAACCUGCAGUAGAACUUACAUUAAAACCUGCAGCAGAACCUGCAUCAGAACGUGCACCAGAACCUCCAACUGUAUCAGAACUUGCAUCAGAAAGCUGCAACGAGGUAGAGAGUGUCAAGUACAAGAUGUUAUAUGAUCAAUGGCUUAACCUAGUUGAGGAGAAUUCAGUGUUAACAAGGGAAAAACUCAAGAUGGAGGCAAAGGUGGCUGAAACACAAAAAUAUGCAAUAAAGAUGGAAGAAGAAGCAUCACAAGCUAGAGUGCAACUUGAAGAAACUCACAAGAAUUUGAGGAUGCUUAAUAAUGGCACUAAGCAGUUGGAUCAUAUUCUAAACAUUGGCAAAACUGAUCGAUAUGGUCUUGGAUUUAAAGGAAAUCUUUCAAAAUCAGAUACAAUGUUUAUCUCUGGUGGUUAUUAGAGAGAGCUACAUCAAUGAGGAGAAGAAAGAAGAAGAGAAGAUAUGAUAUGCAUCAUCAAGGACAAAGUAUGAAAUUUCCGGAUUAGUGAAGCAGAAAAACAGUUUCAAGAUGCCUAAUUCAAGGUAACGUUUGGAGAUCUAAAAGUAUUCUGAUCGAGCUGAAACUUGGUGGCAAGCUUCUUGGUACUACUGUCUUAAAAAUCAACGGUGGGAUUGAGUUUUUGACGGUGGGUUUGGGUUUUAUUCAACCUAUUUUGGACAGAAGUCAUAUGAAGUUUCAGAUUUGACCAACUUGACAUUUGAAGUAGUUCAGCUGGGAUUCAUGUGUGUGUCAACCUAUGAAAGUGUUUUUAACUUGUGUGUGCUCACAAGCAGGGGGAGAAGAAUUUGGCUAAGAGAAAGAUGUUGUUUUAUGGGGGAGUUUUCAUAAGAUGGCAUAUGAUUAAGGAGAAGUUUUGAAGAUGGUUUUGCUUGUUCUUUGCUAGAACCCUAUGUGGCUUGUGUGUAGCUUUAUGGGUCUGCUUUACAGAUGCUUGUGAGACACACAAAGUUAAUAAGGGGGAGAUUAUUGAUGCAGCCAGUUGACACACUCGAUGUACCGGUGACAAAGUAGCACAUGAAGUGAUAUAACGAAGCAUGAUGUUUUAUCUCAACAUUAAGUAUGUGCUUUGGUUCUAAAACUCAGUCAUCAAGGGGGAGAUUGUUGGUGUUGUGAAGACCGAGUUUUAGAAGUUGCUGAGAUCUUUGUUUCAAGGUUGAGAGAGAGUUUGGAGAUCAUCAAAGUAAUAAUUGAAGUUAAUGAUGUGUGAAGCUUGGAUUAUAAAACUCACUAAGAAAGGGAGAGAUUGUUGAUGUAUUCUUAAUGAGUUUUAUAUCAAGAUGAAGAGAAACAGAAAGCGACAUUUAUUGAAGGCGAAGAGUGAAGAUGAAGCUGCUGAAGUAGUCGUUGAACUAGUUCAGAGUAGUACAAGAAGUAGUUCAACAGAAUAGAAUUACGUGAAGCAAGUAUUUGGAAAUUGGUAAAGUCGGUCUAUGGCGGUUGGCUGUGGAUACUAGAAGCUUGGAGAAGAUUCUAAAAGACUGAAGAGUUUCCUUUUCAUAGGAAGAAAUGGAAACAUGAAGAGAAAGGACAAUUUCCUUAUCCUUAAGAAAAAGGAAAUUGUCUAUUCCUAUUAGUGUUAGAAUAGGAAAUCGGCUUGUUGUAUAGCCACGACCUAUUUAGUAUAAAUAGGGGGCUUAGGCUUUAGAAAAGGAGAGCACAAGAGAGAAAGAGAAUUCUUAGACAUUAAGGUUAUGGGGUUUCUUGUGAGAAAGCAUAAUGCUUAAGAGGGCUAAGGGAUUUGUCUUGAGAGAGUUCUAGAUCGGGUUGUGAUCUAAGAACGAGAGAUUGAGAGAAUAGAAAAUAGUUUAAGGAAGACCUUGUAAACGUAUUUUCUAUUAAUCAAAAGAGUUUUAAGAAGAAAUUCUUGUCUCAGCUUGUGACUCAGUUCCUGACUCAGUUUCUGUCUUAUAUCGUGAGCUAGUUCUCAAGUACUUAAUAGCUCUUGCACUUUCAGAUUUUGCACGCUUUGAAUGAAAAGAUCCUGCAAUACCAACCAAGAAACCCAAACAUCAGAGGCAUCCAGCUCAAAGAGGAGAUGAGAACAUAUUUUUGGAGUACACGAACAUGAAAAUGCUCUUGCAGGUUGUGUUUUUCUUGAACCAACAUUUUAGAACAUGGCUACUCACAAUAUAAGCAUGUGAUUUAGCAAUAACAUAAGCCAACCUUUGAUCUUGAGUGAACAGCUGGAUCUGUACUUCUUGAAAGAAGCCUUGCAAGAGGAAGCAUCUCAGCAACCUCUGCCUUAGGCACUUCAAGUCUCAUUCUCCAUCUACCCAUGGAGGAUAUAACACUUCCUAGAUGACCAGUCAUGGCUCUCAUAAAAAAACUGCCAGCUUCCUUCUGACCAAGGUCUCUGUCACGGGAACCCGGCAAUACAUAUUCACCUUGAAGCUCAUACCGGCUAUUGCUUUGUUCCAGAAUAGUUUUCUCAACAGUGAUCUCCAGGAAGAAAAAUGAAAAGGAUAAGCAGAGAUACCAUCAUGCAUAUUCUCAUAUUGACUUCACUGCUAAACAUACUUAUCGAUUAUUCAUUGUUUAAUCUCACCAUAACCUCUAAUCCUCUGGACUACAUGAAACUCUUAAAACAAGGUAAUAAAACAUAGAAAUGAAACAGGCUUGAUUUAUAUGGUGGCAAAUGAUGUACUAUGAAAUGUGAUGAAACUAGACAACAGCGAGAUCACUCUCUAGAUUUCUUAGAAAACUAAACCAAACGAACAGGAACCUAGAACUCCACUAAUUUUUGGCCGAAAUACAUACCACGUCACCGCUCCAUCUGACUGCAACAUCUAAAGCUUCACCUAGAACUCCACUAAAUUUUGGCCGAAUUACAGACAACAGGCCAUGUCCUCUUCGCUUCUGAAGAUUUAGUUGAAUCUCUGCCUGCAAGUAAUAUGGAAAGUAAGAUAUUAUUGAUAAUUUUAUAAAGAGAGCACUCCCCUGUAGCUUCUGAAAAGCUGAUUUUCUAAGUUAUAAGCUUCUGAGAAAUAUUAAACCACAUUAGAACUUCCAGUUUCAUUAUUCUGCUACAACUAACACAUAAUACUUGCAGGUUGUCAUCUUAAGAACGUUUUAUUAAGUCUUCAUUGACACUGAACAUGCAAGAAAAUAUCCUGAACACACUGAAGCUGAUAAUACUGACAAUAAACUGCUCUAUUUGAGACGUGGAGAAGUUGGCAGAUUUCAUAGAGUGUGAGCCCCGGAAGGAUUAUUCCGAUUGGCUAAAAGGGAGAGAACGGUUUCGUAGUCAAAAGUGGAAGUCGGAGAAGAUUGCCCUCCAAAGGUGGAAUAAGAAGCAAAAAGCUUGGAGAGUGAACAAAAGAAAGAAUGUUUAAAAGCUGACUAAGUGAGUGAAUAUAAUCUUUCGGGUAGUCUAAAGAGUUGCUCACACUUGGAUUCAGUGCAUCUUGGAUUAGCCAAAAGUUCGAAGCGUUCAGUGCGUUUGAAACGCAUAUAAUUAAACUUUACGGAGGCUGCAUAAAUUCAUCUAACAGAACUUGUCUCACAGUUUUUUUUAGCUUCACAAUUCAAAGAAAAACAAACAUUCGAGGACUUAGUUCGCAAUCUUAAUUUGGUAAUUGCAAUUGCAAAAAGCAAAAAUAUCCAACAGUUAACCCGAACAGAACCAAAGUAGAUUUACUGUGAAUGAGACCAAAGCAUUUAAAGACGAUAGCUAAGUCGCAAGGCCAUUAGAGCCAUUGUAGCAUCGCGAUUAUAGGCCCCAUCCCCACGACGUAUACCCGUGGUGGCAUACGACACGAGUCGUCCAAGCCAACAUUGGACACAGUGACCACUGAUAUGCAAAUGUCUCCGUCUCGGACAAAACUGUGAUGUAUAAUCUCAAUCAACCAUUCAACUGUAAGGAGAAGAUGCACUUGUGGGUGUUACUCAUAAUAAUUAUGCAUUGCAAAUAGAAAUCCUUCAGUAGAGAUUUUAAACAUAGACCCCACUCCGUUCUAGUCCAAAGAGUCGAAGACAUAAACACAAGCCAAAGACACACAACAUCCGUGCAUAGAUAAUAAACACUAACAUGAUAAAAAGUUUCCAAUAGAUAGCAGCUGAUAGAUUAUAUAGCAGACAAGAUCCUCAUGUCUCUCUGUCUUCUAUUUGUUCCUUAGUGACAGCAACUUCAAGGCUCAUGUGCCCUGGUUUCCCAUCCAUGGUUUUCCUUAUUAUAGCGUCGUGCUCACCAGCCCAGGGUGUUGAAGGAUCAGCAAUACACUUGUAACUUAUGUAGAAGAUUGCAUUAUCUGCCUUGAGCUUCUCACGGGCCUCUGUUGUGUAUUCUUCUAAAGUUUGUACAACAACCUUCUUGAUCUCCAAGGGUUUGCAAGCGCUUACACCCUGCAAUUACAUUUGUGGCAAGCGUAAAGAGGGGAAGAGACAAACAAGUUUCACUUGCUUUUAUUUUUUUUGGGAGAGAACAAGAAUUGCAACAUUCAAGAACUUACACUCUCUGUUUUGGAGUAGAAGGCGACUUCCAUGAGCAGUUGCAGCCAGUCAUUCUCAUGCAGCUCUGAUUCUUGCACCUGCGAAUGAUGAUGAUCCACAGAAAUUUAUUAAAACUAGAACAAAAAUUCAAAAACUCCAAUGUGGACAUGAAGGAUGUUUCUUAUUACCACGUAAACCUUUUUAUCGUCACGGACCAAGGCCUCAUCAGAAAACCAUUUGGGCAUCGGACCUUUGUAGGAAUCAUCUAUUGCAGCCAUGUCCCAAACUUCAUCCACACUCUCGGUACCAUCUAAAAAGUGAUGUUUAUAAACAGUUAGUCCUCUUUUGACAAAUUCAUCUCCAAAAACAGUAAGUCCCGAAUAAAAACUGUUAUGCUUAUGGAGGUAAUAUAGAUUCUUACGUGUUGCUUUGAUUCUGGCGGCUAAGCUCGCCAACGUAAGACCGAUACCCCAAGUAAGAUACUGAUAAUCAUUGCUUAACAUGGUCUGAAAAGAGAAGACCGAGCCGCUGGUCGGAGCCGUUGCCUCGAAAGUUAUGUAGUAGUCCUCGUAUCUAGUCGAGUGAGUACCACACUUUUCCAAGCGUUUAAACUUAUAGUUUGUUCCCUGUCAAAAACGUAAAAACUUAUAAUUUCUUUUUGACAAAAGACAGAGAGAGAGAGAAUAGUGAUGAUGAUGAGAGUUACCUUCUGAAAAUUGUGGCAGUGGAGUCCAAUCCUAGCAAAAAGGGCGAUUUCAUAAUCAUAUUGCCAAGUAGACUGAAUUUCUUCAUAAGAUCACCAAUCCACAUCAAACCCCUAACAAAAUUAAACGACGCAGUCAGACUUUGGUCAGAACGGUAAGGCGCUUGUUCCGUGAGACUCUAUACCCCUACGACAAUCAGAUCAUCCAAAAUCAAAAUCACUACAAAACUAUAAAGCUAGGAGGAAUUUCGGAGAAAAUUUACUAGGGCCAAUCCGCAACUUCUCAAGGAGCCCCAUCUUCGUUGCUGGUUUUCGAAAGUUUCAAGCUUUCGCUUUCGAUUAUUUUUGAUUCUCUCUUGCACUGAAGAUGCUUUUGUAAUCCCGAGUUCACUUGAUUCUUUUUCCGCCAUACCCUGCAAGUAGCCAAACCCUUCAAGUCUCUCAAAUCUCAAUCUCAGACAAUAACUUGGUUGCUUUGGGGUAGGCUGGGUAUUCGGGCUAUCCAUUCGGGUUCGGGUAAACCCGAAUACCCGGUCUACUAGAAUUUGGGGUAUGGCGGAAAAUAAAACCUAAUAGAAUUUAUAAGGUUUAUAAGCCUAUUGUAAAAGUUAUUGUAAAGUUUUUUAAGGCUGUUAUAUGGUUUUUAUAUGGUUUUUGUAUGGUUUAUUACCUUUUAUAAUGCUUUUAUAUUGUUUUUACAAGGUUUUUAUAUGGUUUAAUAUCUUUUACAAGAAUAAUUCUCAGAUUCUCGAAAUAUUAAUUUUACAAAAGGUACUUCAAUUUUAAUAAUAUAGAUAGAUAUCAAUUUUAAUACCACGGGAUAAUUUUUUUUAGUCAAUCCUAAAUAAAUCAAUUUGUUUUAAUAUAUUUCUUAUUAUAUUAUGAUGUGAAGAAAAUAAUAAAAAGAAUAAUAAUUCGUGUAACGUUUGAUUAAUGAUAUUGUAUAUUUAUAUUAAUAUCGAUCCAAACCCAACCCGUCAUAUAACUCCGUAAUAUUUUAAACUUUUUAUCAGUUUAAAUAUUCAUAAUAUUUUAAAUUUUGAUAAUAUGAUGUUUCAAAAACGUUUUUAAAAAAUCAAUUAAAGAUAAUAGGAUAAUCAUAAUUUUAAAUCUUGACAAAAUCUUUUAAAUAUCUUCAAUAUUAACUAUAAUGUCAUUCAUUGUAAAUAAGUCUCAACUUCAAACAUACUCCACAAAAGGUACUUCAAUUUUAAUAAUAUAGAUAUAGAUAUCAAUUUUAAUACCGCGGGAUAAUUUUUUUAGUCAAUGUUAAAUAAAUCAAUUUUUUAAUAUAUUUAUUAUUAUAAUACUAGAGAUUAACCUGCGGUACACCGUGGGACAAAUAUUUAAUUUAUAAUCACCUAAAAUUCAUAAUUUAUAAGUUUGAUAUUAAAGUUAUUUAUUUUGUAUUAAUUUUAGAUUUAACCUGCAGUAUACCACAGAAUAAUUAUUUUUUCACUCAAUCUUAAUUAAAUCAACUUGUUUUAGUGUUUUUAAUAUACUAUAAUAUUAGUAUUGUUGAUAAAAAAAAUGACUCGUAUUGUAACAUUUGAUUAAUGAUAUUUUAUAUUUAUGUUAAUAUCGAUCCAAACUCAUCCCGCCAUAUAACCCCGUGAUAUUAAGAAUAUAUAACCCUGUGAUAUUUAGAAUUUUUUAUCAGUUUAAGUAUUCAUAAUAUUUUAAACUUUUUAAAAAUUUUAAAUAUAUCGAUAAUAACAUUUAAAUUUUUUAAAAUUUUUAAACUUUAUUAUAUAUGGUAUAAUUAAACAGUUCAAUUAAAUAACUGAAUGAAACUGAGUAUCUAUAUUAUUGGAGAAUUAUAAUUUAAAAUCUUAACAAAAUCUUUUAAAUAUCUAUAAUAAAAUCUUUUAAAUAUCUAUAAUAUAAAUAAAGGGAGAAUUACUCAAAAAACCUGUUUGAGCGACAUCUUUACUAGAAAGACCCCCUCUUACUAGAAAGGCCUAAAAAAAGAGUGGAGAAAUGACUUCAAAACCUGAGUAUUUAUUUUAUAUUUACAACUGAUGCCAUUUAGAAUUAAAAAAUUAAAAUUAUAAAAGUGUUGAAAACCUAAGAUGUGCCUUUAAUGGCGUCGACAAACUUUCUUGGGACCUUGGCGAGAGCAGAUGGACUUCCGUACGGUAGAGAUUUCGAUACGCAUCAACCAACCGACAAAUCCGGUUACUCCGGUGACUAGAACUUUUAGGCCCCCACGACACCUAGGACGAGCCGAUUUACGGAAUUGUUUCUUCCAGUGAGAAUCGCCGUAUUUCGUGGAAGAAUCGUUGAGAUUCCGACGGAGGGGUUAAGACCUCCGGGAAACGUCUAUCCUCUUGGGUAAGUGCCAAAUUUCGUAUCUUUUGUUUGAAUUUCUCUGUUUGUUGGUACUUUUUACUGACCCAUUUGUGGGUUUGUUCUUUCUCCGUUUGAUUUCUAGUGGCUUCAUUUUGUGUUCCUCUGUUAUCCUACAAUUCGAAUUAGCCAAUUGUUUUUACUCUUACAAUUUUGAAUUCGAAUAACCAAUUGUUUUUACUACCUGUAGAUAGUCAGUUCUUGGGCUGAGAUUAUAACUAGAUAGCUUGAUGUCUUUGCAAUUGUUGAAGUAGAUUUUGGUAUCAUGUAAUGGUGCUUUUUGUUUUUGGAAUCAUUGGAGCUAUCGAUAUAUGAAAGAAUUAUAAUAUUAAAAAGAGCUGAAUUUUUAAAUUUUGCAGGUUUGUAAAACAAGGUUAUCAAGUGAUUAAGUGAGGUGAAGAAACAAAGAAAGAGUAAAUCUUCUAGAAAGGAUUCUAUAUUUAGCCAGGUUUGUAAAACAAGGCUAUUAUCUCUGUCGUUUUCAUUUAUUCUACUGAUGGAUUUCAAGUGCUAUUUGUAAAUUUCUUAUAUUGUCGUUAAGGUCUGCUUCUCUGUCUCUCAUGUGUGUUCAUUCGUUCUGAUUUUGUAUUUCCUUUGUAUGCUUCUGUUUGAUUUUGGUGUCUUGAUUUCGUGGUAUCAGGAGCUUGAUGAGAUGAAGAGGAGAUUGAAGGAGAUGCAGGAAGAACCUGCUGCACUGCGGGAGAUGAAAGCAAAAGUCGAAAAAUAAAUGGGAGAUGUUCAAGGUCUGUGGCUCUUUCGUUUCUUUGCUCGUGUGUUUUCUAGAAAUUCGAUAUACUGGGACUCUGUUAAUUGUCUUAAUUCGUUUGAUUCAUGUUUCUUUUUGGAAAUGAGUUCUAUUUUAGAAUUGAGUUUUAGUAGUUGCAGGUUUCUCUUCUUGACUUGAGUUCAGUUUCAGUUUCAGAUUUGACUUUGAGUAGUCGCAUGUUUCUUUUUUGGAAAUGAGUUGCAGGUCUCUUACUAACUUGAGUUCAUUUUCAGAUUUGAGUUUAACUAGUUAAGAUUAUGUUUUAUGUUUAGUGAUUGUGAUAUCGUUAUCUCCAACGUUAAUAAUUUAUUUGUAACAUUGAUUUUAAUUUGUUGUGCUUGCUUGAAGAAUUUAAUAAAUCCAAGGAUAGUAAUAAAUUUACUAUUCUGUUCUUUUUUUAAUCCAUCUCUGCAAUUUCUCAUGGAGAAAGCCUCUGUUUCGUAUAGAACUUAGGCUUUAAGUUCGUGGAUCACUAGGCCAAUGUAGAGACUAGUUUACUGACUAUUUUUAAGACUUUUUGGUACUUUUCAUUUGUGGUUUCUGAAGCCUUAUUGGUCGUAUUGCUGUUGUUUUUGUUUUUAUGGUCCUUGCUCACUUCUAGAGGCGGAAGAGAUGCGUGCAUACAAGGAGAACACCAGCAAAUUGAUCUCUCACGUUGGUUUUCAGGAACCUAUGGCUCCGGUGAGGUUCAUACCUAAGAAAGCGGCUGUCUUUGAGUUCAUUUUCAGAUUUGAGUUUAACUAGUUAAGAUUAUGUUUUAUGUUUGCAGGAGAAAUUUCUUUACCAGGUGGUAAAGCAGAAGAGAAUGAUAAGGAUGAUGGGAUUACUGCAACUAGAGAGGCAGAGGAAGAGAUUGGUUUAGACCCUUCGCUUGUUGAUGUUGUUGCUUUCCUCGAACCAUUCCUGUCUCAGGUAUCAAAAGUCCUCACUGUCCCCUUCUCCUUGCUGCUAUUUUUAUAACAAAUGCAUGUUCGUAUUAGGAGCCGUGUUUUGUGACACAAGAGUAACGGUUGAUUAUUAGGCAGAUAUGCGUUUUCAAGUGUCGAGGCCAUAUUCAACCAGUGACUGUCUUUAGGCCAUUGUGAUUUUCAUAACUGAAUUUUGAAUCUUUGUUCGUAGUUCUAAUACAAUUUUUUCGUGUCCUAGUAGCAGAGUAAUGGUAACUGCAGCGGCCCUCUAUAUUUUUUCUAAGAUCCUGAAUAAAUUUUAGAAGUAGCUGAAGCCUGAAUAUCCUGCCUUUUAAUGUUGGUUUAGUCUCUAUGCAAUAUUUUCCCUGCCCCAUACCAAGCUUUCUUUAGCUUUUAUGAAGUGAGAGAUGCAUAGUUCUCCAACUCUGAACAAUAUUUUGCUUAUCUGUGAUUCAUGUUCCAGUGCAGCAUCUGCUUAGAGUAAUUCCUGUAAUAGGAAUAUUGUGGGACAGAAAAGCAUUCAAUCCAACGCCAAGUCCUGCAGAGGUGGAAGCCGUGUUUGAUGCACCCUUUGAAAUGUUUCUGAAGGUUUCUCUCGUUUCUUUUUAUCGAGGAUGCUUUAUAGUUGCAUUCUUUAUUUACUCUGAAGCAUUGGUGGUUGAAAAAUAUCUUACACAGGAUGAGAACCGGAGAUCCGAGGAGAUUGAUUGGAUGGGGGAAAAGCAUUUGGUCCACUUCUUUGAUCUCCUCACGCUGCAAUAAUCUAGGUUUAAAGCUUGUCUGUGAUGUUUCUUCUUCUUCUGUUUUAAUGAAUUUUGGGAUACAUUAUGGAUCAAAUGGUUUCUUGUGAUAGUUAACCUGCCACCUCCAUUGUAAUAGACAACCACAUGCAUGUAAGCAGCUGUUGGAUGUCUGAAAAUAUAGAAAUUAUUUAAUGAAUUUCAGUUACGUAGCGACGUCGUGGUUAGCGAGUCCUCAUCUUCAGACUUGUUUUUUGAAUUUUAAUGGAUUGCCUCCAGUAUUCAGCUAUUGAAGGUGAGUUUUGAACUUUUUCCUAUUUUUUUGCGAUUUGAUACACAAAUUGUUACAUUUUAGCUAAUGAAGUCUGGUUGAUACGUUUGAUGUGUCAGACAACUAUUUUGUGCUUCUGAUGGUGGAACGAUUGUAUAUAUGUAAGACAUUGAAGUAAUAAUCUUUACUUCUUUUGGCACUGCUUAUUCUUGUCCAGGUAGUACCUGUUGUUGAUGGAGUGCAGGUGUAUUCAAUGGUUGAAGCACACAAGCUAGACUUAUCCGUUGCACCUGUCUCAUCUAGUAGAACAGCCAUAUCGAGGAAACGUAGAAUCUCAUGAUCUCGUUCUUCUCGCACUUUUCAAUAUGUCCAAGAGUUGAGAGAUUACGUAAGAAAACUAAAUCCAAGGGCUUACACGAUCCAAGGUAUAUGUGUGGUGUAAAUGCAGUUAAUACAGCUAUUGACCAGCUAGCUUUGAACAAAAGAAUCAUGUGAUUACUUAUGGUAGACCAACACAAAAAAAAGUUUAAGACAAUGUGCUGUCGUCACCUUCUCAUUUUCUAGUAUUUUUUUUGGUAAAAGGAUUUUCUAGUAUUUUUGUUUUGUUUCGAACAAAUUAACCCUUCAAUAAUUGAUCAACAAUGCUAUUAAACAAUAAUUGAUCAACAAGAGGACUUGUACCACACGGUUUUGUUUCCUAUGAUAAUUUAAUUUUAUAGAACACUCAGAUAACAGAUUACUCGAGAAAAAUAUUAUGUACUACUAUUGACUAAAUUGAAAAACUACAAAAGUAUAACUGUGUUAAAAAGAUGACGCAUACAUGGGAAAAGAUGGCGCACGUGGGAAAAUUAUUGAAAUUCAAUCACCACUUUUGUCCGAAAAGUUUGAAUCAGACGAAAAGUGAAGAUGGCGAUGGCGACAAGAUGAUUUUAAUACGAAGUGCACGUGGAGUAAAAAGACAGCGCAUGUAGAGAUACACCCUGGUACAAUUAUGUUUUAAUUUAAAAUUUGCAACUAAAAAAUUUUAAAAAUUUAAAUAAAUCACCAAUUUUUAUGUUAGUGAAUGCAAACAUUAAGACAUAUCAUAUUUUAACAUAUAUUACUAUAUUGUUACUUUUAUGAUUCAUGUAUAGUAAACAUUCAUUACACUUUGAUUGUUACUUUGUAAAUUUUAACCAAGUAAUUAUGUCAAAUAUACAAACAACAUAUUUUACAGAUAUUGUUAUAUGAAAUUUUAGUAAUUGUAUUUUUAUUACCUAACAUCAAAAAUACAACUGCAAAAAGUAAAUUUAAAUUAAAGUACUACUGAUUAUUAGAUUAAAAUACCAAAGUACAAUUGUGUUCAGAGACAUACUACUACCAUCUUGAGUACAACUAUGUGUAAAUUUGACGGCGCCUAUGUGAGUAAAAGACGGAGCACGUGGGAAAGACGGCGCACGUGACGGCUGAUUUACAGAAAGACGGCGCACGUAACGGCUGAGUUACGGAAAGACGGCGUACGUGACGGCUGAGUUACGGUAUACACAAAUUUAAAGUUCAAAACUUAUAUAUCCUCGAAAUCAUAGUUUGAAUCAUUAUUACCCACAUACUUUACAACGCUAAUAAGUCUGUUAAAACGUGUGUUAAGUUGAAAAUUACAAAAUUCUGUCAUUUUGUGUUGUUAUGAAAGAAUCUACACAACAUAUCCCUUAUACUUUUAAGUCACUUUGUAAAUAAUGACCAACUUAUGAUGAAAAAGUGACGGAAAUCAAAGUUUAAAACAUAUUAAUGCAUAAAAUACUCCGAAUUAUAUGUUAAUUGAGCUAUAUCAACUAUACAACUAAAUAAACAAAUUAAAAGUAUAUGUGAUACUAAUUAAACGGAAAACACUAUUUGAAAUUUUGGUACAACUACUAAUACACUUGGUAUAACUAUCUGUAAAUUUAACAGCGUCCAUGUGAGUAAAAGACAGCGCACUUGGGAAAGACGGCGCACAUGACGGCUGAGUUACGGAAAGACAGCGCACGUGACGGCUGAGUUACGGUAUAUCCCAAAAAAAUGUUUCUCAUUUUAUAUCCCCACGAAUUUAAAGUUCAAAACAUAUAUAUCCCCGAAAUCAUAAUAUCAAAAGUACAACUACAAAAAGUAAAUUUCAACUAAGGUACUACUGAUAUUAGUUUAAAAUACAAAAGUACAACUGUGUUCAGACACAUACAACUACCAUCUUGAGUACAACUCUUUAGAAAAUUUGGUAAUAUUUAACUAUUCUUUUCAAACAUGUGGUCUUUUUCCAGCAACAUGUGUUUGUUUUGCCAUGUUCCAAUGCAGCAUCUGCUUAGAGUAAUUCCUGUAAUAGGAAUAUUGUGGGACAGAAAAGCAUUCAAUCCAACGCCAAGUCCUGCAGAGGUGGAAGCCGUGUUUGUCUUAUUUCUAUGACUGUAACGUUUUGGUGAUGUUAAUCUGGAUUUUGUUAUACUUUUGCUGAUUUUGAUGAUGUUAAUUGUCUAGUUUUUGCUUAUGUCUUGUUUUUCUCUUGUUUUUGUCUGGUUAAUGUCUGGUUUUUGCAUAAGUCUGGUUUUUGCUUAUGUUUGGUUUUGAGAAGUCUGACUUAUCUUUAGCAUUGCUUACUAAAGCGUUUUUAUUGCUUCUUAUGUCUGUUUUUCUGCACCAUUUUGUCUGGUUUUUUUAACGUUUCUUUUUGUUGCUUUAGUGUACCAUAACAGCUGAUAAGGGAAACCCUUUUGGACUUGGAAGACUUAGAGAGACUGUCAACAACAGGAAGAGAAAAGAAAGUUGUGCAAGCUCUUCAUCAUCCUUGUCAGAGAUGCAAGAACAGUUUCAGGCUGCUCGUCGAAAGUUAGCUGAGCAAGACUUAAUCAAUUCUCAACGUGAGGCGGAGCAACGCAUAGCUCAAAGUAGGUUCUCAAGCUUGGAGAUGAUUGUCUCAUACUUGAAGACCAAUGAUCCCCAAUUUGCAGACUUUUUGGCGCGUCAACCACCAAUCAUCCCACCUGAAACUGACCAGCCACUAGACAAGGCACUGUACCAGCCACUGGACAGGGCACUGCACCAGCCACUGCACAAGGCUCUGCACCAGCCACUGCACAAGGCUCUGCACCAGCCAAAGGAUAUCCCUUGUUGUUCUUCUCUUUCUUUUGUGCAGCCUGGUAAUUAAGUAGUUCAUAUUUGCACAUGGGAUACGAGAAAGCCUCUAACCUACUCUAAUUCUAGCGCCAUGAAAGCUUGUAAAACCAUGGUUCGAACAGCUCAUGAGGAUGAUGGUCACUGGACCAAGAGUGAAGAAUGCUGUCAAGUUGAGCAGAGUAUCUGCUUACUGAAUUCAGAACCUCCUAUUGAUGAUAUGAUAGAGGAUGACACCACUUUCCUUUUAUAUAUCUCUAUUACAUGUAUACUCUUAUCAUUUGUAUAUAAAAUAUUUCCAACAAUAUUCUUUUGUUCUCCAUUUUCUUUGAAGGUGUAAAGAUUACUUUCUCGGCAGAGAAUCUUAUAGAAAUAUAGAUGGAAAGUGUUUCUUGAUUGUGAUUGUUUGUUUGUGUAACGUUUAUUUAUAUGAGAUUUGUUUGUGUAACAAGUCCGGGGUGAAUACAGCAAUUGACCCGAUUAGGGGUUGGAUUUUUAGGUACUUUACUGCAAGGUUGAUGUCAGAAAAUAUUCGAACAUCAUUCAACACAUGCUUGCAUACCUUAACUUCAUCGAGUUCCCGAGAGAUAAAAAGUUCGUUAUUAUAUUGUUCCACAGACAUAUGAUCGAUGUGGCAUCCAAUACCUUUCCAAUCAGCUUCUACUGGAAUUCCGUUAUUCAUUGCAAAUACCAUAGCUGAAUAGGAUGAAUAACCAUAACAGUAAUGAGCACCUUUACUAUCUUUAAAUCUUCCCUGACUUGAAAAUGUGAGUCAUCACCCCGGACUUGGGUAUGAUUGAAAAUGUGAGUCAUUCUGUCUGAUAAAUUAUGUAUGUUGUUCUUUUGUUUUACGUUUGAAUCUUUUUUAACUAAGAUUUUAUUUUUCCAAUAUUCAGGAAAUUUACCGUGGGCCUACAAGGGAUGAUUCCAUAUUCAAAAGAUGGCAUUCCGUCUCCAUUCGUUCGAUAACAUUUGUGAAUGGGGAAGCAAUUGCAGAGUGUAAAAACUCUCAUGGUCCUAAGAGAGGAAAUCAGGGUUAUUUUAAGGCAUCCCUGGAUGUUAUGAUAAGUGACGUAUAUUCAAACGGAUCGUUUAAAUCUCCAAGUAGAUUAUUCAGGAAUUUUGUCUAUGGUGAGGUUAGGAAAGAAUAUGAGGUAUGUUCUUUGUUUUCUUGUGGAUUAAUAGUUAUUAAUCAUAGUUAUUUAAUUUUCUUAUAUCUGAUGUUUUGUUUUCUUAAGUAAUGUGACAAAAAUUAACUUCCUUCUUAAUUUUUCUUAUUUUCUUUAGAAAGAAGUAGUUGAGUGUAUAAGUAAAGAGUCUACAUGCCCCACCACUCUCCCGAAAGAUACAUUACUUCGUAUAUUUGAAGGGAUUUAUCAUAACACAUCGGUUCGUGUGUGUCAAUCUGAGGUAUGUUUAAAACACUAUAAUUCUUUUCUAUUUGAUUAUAGUCCUAUUGAAUGUAACAAUUUGCAUAUUUUUGGGUGAUCCAAGGGUAAAGAAGAAGUUAUUGGAACCCCGAUAGACCGAGCUCUAUUUAAAUGGGCUAUAGAGGUUAUUUUUGUAGUUUCAUUUCUUUCAUUAUAUCAAUAUUUGUUGUUUUGUUGUCAACUAUUUUUAAUGAACCUGCAGCUACAAGCGAAGAUGAAUAUCACUUAUAACAAGUCUGACUCUAUCACGUUAAAAGGUCCAUGUGAUAAAUGCCUUCCGUGUAAGAAAGGGGUUAAAUCAGUGCCGAAAGUUGAAGCCAAAGGCACUGCAGUGGAGGGUGUAUGAGUUAUAAUUUUUUCUAUCAACUUCUAGUUAUAAGCAUUAGUUUCUAACUUCUAUUUUGGUCUUUUCAUUUCUCAGAAAAUUCCCUCUCUAAAUGGGGUACGCAUCCAUUGGAAAGGCAAACCUGAAUUCAUUCUAGAAAAAUGUCUUCUCGAUGGUGCUGGAAAGGUUAGCAGCAGUUAUUUAUUUUUUAUUUUCAUUUUUUGUAUUCAUGUAUGAAAAUCUGUUUGGCAAAACCUAAAUUCUGUCAUUUCAGGAAAGAAUACUUGAAGCUAUCAAGAAAAUGGCUGCAAAAAAUUUAAUCUGUAUUGCUAUUUGCACUAAUUCGGAGAUGAAUCAGUUUGUUCCAGAUGAAGAUAAUCGCAAACAGUGGGAAUUAACAUGUGAUCGUCUUGAUUUGUUGGCUGUAUUUGGUAUUCAGGUUUUUUCCUGAAACUUUAUCCUUUAUACAAUCUUGUAAUAUUGUUAUGCUGACUUAAAUAUCUUAUUGUACUUUUGUAGAGUCCACGUAUCUUACCUAAGGAUGCUCUUGAAAAGCAGGUAUGUAGAUAUAUCUCAAUUGUUGUUUAUGUUUUGUUUGUUUUUAGUGAUAUCUAAUAUUUUCUUGGCAGGCUCCCUUGGAUUUCGACGAAGGAGAUGAUGAUCCCAGUUUGGAUUAUUUGGUUGAUUUGGUUGAUAGCACAAUAUGUUCAUCAAUUUCAAGUAAUCAGGGUUUAUAAAGAUUCAAGUUUCAUUAUUGUUCAAUCACAACAAAAAUUUCGUUAUAUUUCUGUGGAAUUUUAAAGUUUUCGAUUUUCUUUCCUAAUAUGUGAUUAGGCUUCGAAGAGAAUAUGGAGGGGACGCCACAGGUUGAGGAUGAGGUGAAACAUAUGUCUCCCUUGUUCCGAGUUUUCUUAAAAACAUAUGUAGCUCGAGCUGCUGAAUUUCUUAUUCAUAAUUGGGAUCUCUCUUAGGUGGUUAGUUAUUACUUCUCAUUGGUUCUAAUCAAAUCUGAUUGCGUGGUUUAUUUUCUUUUAGCUUUUUGAUCUGGAUUGGUCUUCCUAUCCGCCUACACUAGUUAAGUCUACUUGGCAAUAUGAUUAUGAAAUCGCCCUUUUUGCUAGGUAACUCUCAUCAUCAUCACUAUUCUCUCUCUCUCUCUCUUUUGUCAAAAAGAAAUUAUAAGUUUUUACGUUUUUGACAGGGAACAAACUAUAAGUUUAAACGCUUGGAAAAGUGUGGUACUCACUCGACUAGAUACGAGGACUACUACAUAACUUUCGAGGCAACGGCUCCGACCAGCGGCUCGGUCUUCUCUUUUCAGACCAUGUUAAGCAAUGAUUAUCAGUAUCUUACUUGGGGUAUCGGUCUUACGUUGGCGAGCUUAGCCGCCAGAAUCAAAGCAACACGUAAGAAUCUAUAUUACCUCCAUAAGCAUAACAGUUUUUAUUCGGGACUUACUGUUUUUGGAGAUGAAUUUGUCAAAAGAGGACUAACUGUUUAUAAACAUCACUUUUUAGAUGGUACCGAGAGUGUGGAUGAAGUUUGGGACAUGGCUGCAAUAGAUGAUUCCUACAAAGGUCCGAUGCCCAAAUGGUUUUCUGAUGAGGCCUUGGUCCGUGACGAUAAAAAGGUUUACGUGGUAAUAAGAAACAUCCUUCAUGUCCACAUUGGAGUUUUUGAAUUUUUGUUCUAGUUUUAAUAAAUUUCUGUGGAUCAUCAUCAUUCGCAGGUGCAAGAAUCAGAGCUGCAUGAGAAUGACUGGCUGCAACUGCUCAUGGAAGUCGCCUUCUACUCCAAAACAGAGAGUGUAAGUUCUUGAAUGUUGCAAUUCUUGUUCUCUCCCAAAAAAAAUAAAAGCAAGUGAAACUUGUUUGUCUCUUCCCCUCUUUACGCUUGCCACAAAUGUAAUUGCAGGGUGUAAGCGCUUGCAAACCCUUGGAGAUCAAGAAGGUUGUUGUACAAACUUUAGAAGAAUACACAACAGAGGCCCGUGAGAAGCUCAAGGCAGAUAAUGCAAUCUUCUACAUAAGUUACAAGUGUAUUGCUGAUCCUUCAACACCCUGGGCUGGUGAGCACGACGCUAUAAUAAGGAAAACCAUGGAUGGGAAACCAGGGCACAUGAGCCUUGAAGUUGCUGUCACUAAGGAACAAAUAGAAGACAGAGAGACAUGAGGAUCUUGUCUGCUAUAUAAUCUAUCAGCUGCUAUCUAUUGGAAACUUUUUAUCAUGUUAGUGUUUAUUAUCUAUGCACGGAUGUUGUGUGUCUUUGGCUUGUGUUUAUGUCUUCGACUCUUUGGACUAGAACGGAGUGGGGUCUAUGUUUAAAAUCUCUACUGAAGGAUUUCUAUUUGCAAUGCAAAAUUAUUAUGAGUAACACCCACAAGUGCAUCUUCUCCUUACAGUUGAAUGGUUGAUUGAGAUUAUACAUCACAGUUUUGUCCGAGACGGAGACAUUUGAGACGGAUAUUAUUAUGAGUAAUCCCGCAGCCAGGGGAGCCAUGUGAAAACCCUUGACAGUAACACUCACACGUUUGUGGAGUAGUUUCUUGUUAUUGCUUUUGGUUUAGUUAUUCUGAAUCAUGAGAUAACUUAAUUUGUGAUUUUGCAAGUUAACUUAAUUUGUGAUUUUGCAUAUUACUCAUUUUUUUUUUUUUUUUUUCAUAUAGUAACUAAAUUUUGUAGUGAAUAAUUACUUUGAAGUUGAGAAGUAGCUUUUAUAAACAUUAUAAUGGAAAUUUGGUGUAAGUAUGUGUUUUUUUCAAAAGAAUUUCAUUAUUGUGGGAUCUCUAACAUAAGGUUACAUGAUCUAGUUCUGUGAGUGAUCACAAAUUGUAACGAUGCAUGAUGACUUUUGAUUGUGUUAUUAUAAUAUAUGAUAAUGUUAGCUAGAGAGAGAUAAUUUAUCUAGUGCUACGUUUGCGAUGAUAUAUGUCUUGGUUUUAAGGAGAUUGAAUCUGAUUUACAUUGCAGAUUAUUGGUAGAGGGAAGAUUAAGCAGAAGAUUGUUCAUCUUGUGGACGAAGUUCAAAACCUUCUAGAAAAUAUGGAAUCUAGUGACGUUGUUUUGCUUGCUAAUUGGAACGAUGUUAACUUUGCUUUUAAACUUGCAAGAGAGGCAGAACAGGGAGAUAUUUGUGUCAUAUGUAGUGAAGAAACCGUAGCGGAGCGCAUGUUCUUUAACGACAAAUGCCUUCACCGUCAUUGCUUUUCUUGUGUUAAAAAUCAUGUGAAAGCGAAGCUGGAUAGCGGAAAUGUGCCCACAUGUCUUGUCUAUGGAUGAAAGUUUGAGAUUACCCUUGAAAGUUGUAGUAAGUUUUUGACACCUGAGCUGAUAGAGAUGUGGAAACAAAAGAUGAGAGAGGACUCGAUUCCAGCUGAAGAGAGAAUCUAUUGCCCAUAUCCAAAAUGCUCAAUCUUGAUGUCUAAAACCGAGCUUUCAAGAUCUGCUAAUGAAGCCUCAGAUCAAUCCAAUGUUCGGACAUGUAUCAAGUGUUGUGGACUCUUUUGCAUUGAUUGCAAAGUACCAUCACAUUCUGUUUUGUCGUGAGCUGAUUACAAGAAACACUUCACCCUGAACUCAUUGUUAUAUAUGACUAGUGUUUUGGUUUUUGCAGCUACGACGUGCCCUUGGAUGAUAAAUAUCCUUUUUUUCAUUGAGGAAGGGAGUGCUGAUGAUUAGAAUGAUGACAAUUGGGAUGACUGAUUCUGGAGGUUUAACUGAUUCUGGCAAUGAAAGAGGCUUUACUCAGAAUUAUUCAAGAGUUAUUAACUUGUUAUACUCUUUAAUAUCUGUUUGGAUUAACACAGAGAUUAGAGUUGUUUUGGAACACAUUCUAUUGUUUUGAUUUGGCAUUUUCCUUGUUUAUGACGUUUGAGUGAAUGUUUAGAUUGAGAAUUUUAAUGACAUUUUUGGCUUUGGAAUUAUCUCAUUAUUAGUUUUUUUAGAAAGGGAAAUGAAAGACAGAGCAAAGGAAGAAACAAGAGACACACGAGAUUUGUAACACGGUUCAACACAUCGGUAUGAUGGAGUCUACGUCCGGGGCCAGAUCAAUACUGACGAUCCACUAAAUGAGAAGAAGAUUACAACUCAAGAACUAUGAGCAAAAAAAUAGAUGAAUGGAGAGAGGAGCUCAUCAAGAAUCGAAUAAAGAAUCGAUCAAGGAAGAAGAAGCUAAGGGAUUUGAUUUUUAAACCCCAAUUCCGUUUGUAACAGCAAAGUCUCGCUUUGAAGAAGGCGGGAUUCGUCUAAUGAUAUGUUUACGCAUCAAAAAAAAAAGGCAUUGAAGGGUUUAAUGUUCAUAUUGCGGUAUACACGAAAGUGUGUAGAAGUCACUGGAGCAAGCGGAGGGUUUGACUUUGAGUCAACAAGCUGAGGCACGUGAGACGUUAGACAAGCGUGUGAGGAAGAGACUUCUACAAGCAAGUAUAAGGCUUUGUCUUCUUCUUUCUCAUUUUGUAUCUUAUCCUCUUUCUUGUUGUUGUUGUUGGUUGUAACGGAUUGGGAAAAGCUCACGAGUUUCGAUCAAGAACAAGGUGACCUAGUGGAUUCCGGCCCGACGUACGUAGGCUCCGGUUUGGAGCUGAACUCGUUAAAUUCGUGUGUUGCUUCUCCCAUUUUCUCUUUCUUUCAAACAUACAAACGAAUGAAUCCAAAGUGAGUUGAGAGCGAGUUUAGAUUCGGGUUGAUCGCACAUGCAUAUUAAAACGAAUUUAAAAUCUAUAUAAUAAGAACAAUUUGAAUUCUAUUUUACGGUUAAGUUUUUUUUAUCAUAAUUUUUUUUUUCAAAAAAGAUUUUCAACGGUCGCGUUUUUUUCUUUAUAUCCUAAAAUCAAUAAUAUUAUUAAUUUUCAACAUUUAAUUGAAAUCGUUGCAACAUUUAAUUUGUUUAAUAAGUUUUAACUUAUUUUAUGAACCGUUGUAACUUUUAUUUCAUUUAAUGAAUAAUUGCAACAUUUGGUAUAUUUGACAUUUACGGUUGUGACUUUAGAUAUAACUUUAAAUAAAUUAUUUUGUAUUACUAAAAUAAAUCUAAAUAAAUUGUUACAACUAUUUAGUGGAACCAUUGAUAUUGAAAAUCACAUUUUUGGUAUAUUUUCUUAUAAACUAUUUUUUAUUACUAAAAUAUAGUUAAAUGAAUUAUUUUCCUUGUUUAUUUACAUUUAAACCACUUUACCAUUUGGUUUAUUUGACGAAUUAUUACCACUUUUAAUUUAAUAUAUAAAUCAUUGUAACCUUUAAUUUAUUUGACGAACCAUUGCAACUUUUAUAUAUGAUAUUUAUGUUUGCGUCUCUCAUUAUAACUCUUCAUAAUUUUUAUUUCAAAAUUUUUAAAUGAAAUGUUGCGACUGUUUAUUGAACCAUUGCAACAUACAGUAAAACCUCUACAAAUUAAUAAUGUUGUGUCUACAAUAUUUUAUUAAUUUAUAGUGAUAUUAAUUUAUCUAUAAAUUAAUAUUUAUUAAUUUAUCUAUAAAUUAAUAUUUAUUAAUUUAUUGGAUAAAUUAAUAUUUAUUAAUUUAUUGGAUAAAUUAAUAUUUAUUCAUUUAUAGGAAUAUUUUACAAAAUUGAAUGAUAUAACCGAUAAUUAAUAAAUUUACUUAAAUGAUAUACAUAAAUGAAAUUUAUGAUUAGUGGCAUUAAUUGUUGUAUUUAAAUCGUCUGUAUGACUAUCAAAAUGAAAAUGAUGUAUAUUCAGAUUUUGAAAAUUUACAUAAAAUUUUGUUUAUUUUUAUGGAAUAUUUAUAUUGACGAUGAUAAAAAAAAAAGAGUUUUAAAACACAAUAUAAUAUUUUUUAUAUUAAAAAUUAGUGAUGAGUUAAUUUUAAGAAAAAAUUAUUUAAAAAACACUUAACCAUAUAUUUGUGGAAGCCCCCUUGGCCCAUUGGUUGACCAAGGGUUGAUUAAUGCUUCUACACCAAAAAGUCUGGGGUUCGAGUCCCAUGUAUUGCGAUUUAUUAACAAAUUUGCAGAUUAAUGGAGGCAAGUGUGCAAGAGAUCUCCAGCGAUGUACAAUUAUAGCCGUUCGCCAGGAUUCUACGCAGAGAAGGAAGUGUAGCCAGGUCGUGGAUCAUUGAAGGUAUUCAUCAAGAUUACGAAGAAGGAAGUGUAGUCUGUCGUGAAUCUAGUAAGGGUCGGAAGGAAUUGUCAGUUGUAGAAUCGUCUAUGUAACAGUUCUCAUAAUUUGCAAUUAAUAAUAAAUCUAGACGACAAAAAAAAAAAAAAAACUAUAUAUUUAUAUAUUAUUUUUAUGUAUAUAUAUAUAUGUAAAUUUACAUGAUUAUUAAUUUUUGAUAUUAUUGGGACCAUAUUUUUACAUAGGAGUUUCAAAAAAAUUAUUAUCUUAUUAUCUUAUCGAAUUUUGCCAAUUUUUACACCGGCCCGACUAAUAUUUAUUAAUUUAUAGUGAUUAUUAAUUUAUAGAGUAUUAAUUUAUAGAUGUUUUACUGUAUUUGGUUUAUUUGACAAAGAUGGUCGGGCUCAUGACCCUAGUUUAUAGAAAAAUCAAUCGACACCAAAACAAGGGUUACAAAUAUUAAGGGGAUUUUAUAGCAAAGCAAUUACAAUAUUUAUUUGACAACUUCCCAAGCACGCAUUACGGUUGUGGUAAGUUUGGAAGGCUAGAAACGCCAAAGUUUUCGAAAAUGUGGAUGAGAAUCCUCAAGACGUAUUACGGUUGGCUGACGCAGAAACGUUAGCAUAGAAGCAGGCACAUGUGGAGGAGGAGUGCACAGAUCCGAUUACUUCGAGAUCUAUGCACUGCCUUGGGCCACGAGCCAAUCCACGAGACAGACUAAUUAACAAAGUUGCCCUUCUGGUUGCGAUGAUGACUCAGAUAGUUCUGAAGAGGAUAUGAUUGAUGGCGGUUACAUGCACCGAAGAUGGUGAUCAUUUGUAGUGGCGGAUCCAGAAAAAUAUUUAGUAUGGGGCACCAUUUAUUUUAUUUGUUUUUUUCAAAAUUAUUAUUACAUCUAUGAAAAUAUAAAUUUUGUAAUAAAAUAUAUAAUUCAUCAAUUCAUAUAGUUUGUUUCUUACAACCUAUGUAGGUACUAAGGUACAUAAUGUAUAUAGAUAUACAAUUUUGUAAUACAUUUCCAUAAAAAAAAACAUUUUACAAAUAUAUCACUACAUUUACUAUUUUAAUUAAUUAAAGAAAUAUCAAAACAUAUUUAGCUGACGGAAAGAAGUUAGAACUAAAUGAGGUAAUAAUUAAAUUAUUGUUUUAGGUGAAGGAAUAAAAAGUGAAAAUGUGACACACAUGAGAUUCGAACCUAGGGACGGGAGUGUUGAAUUGUAGGAACACUACCAAUAGUAGUACUAGGGGUUAUAAUUGGUCAUUAUUACAAACCAAAACUUUAUAAAUUUAGUGUGGGGCACGUGCCCCACCUUCUAACCACUUGGAUCCGCCCCUGAUUUGUAUCUUCCUUCUUUAUGACGUUUGAGUGAACGUUUAGCUUGAGAAUUUUAAUAACAUUUUUGGCUUUUGAAUUAUAUGACGUUAUGUUUUUUUAGUAUUGUCAACUAUAUUAGGAACUGUAAUAUGUGGCUCUGCAAGUACGUAUGUUGGUUUAUUGCAAUUUCAUUUUACCCAUCUGAAUUUCGUCUCUUCAAAUUUGUCUCUCCAUUUUCUUGCAAUUUCAUUUUACCCAUCUGAAUUUUGUCUCUUCAAAUUUGUCUCUCCAAUUUCAAUAACAUGCUUUUGAAAGUAAUUCUUGUUGUAGACCGCAUGGUCGGAUGGACUCCAUAACCGUGGCCCAUACACAUGUUCUAGAAGGUCCGGCCCUGCGGUCCGGCCCAUCGUGAGAAGACAAGAGGAGGUCUAAGUGUUAAUGGUUCAUGGGCCUUGUAUUCCUAGCCCAAUUAGAAUUGUAACCUCCUCAUGUGUAUAUAUAUAUGUUGUAACCUCCCUUCAUAAUCAAUAAGAAUUCACAAGUUCUAUAACACGUUAUCAGCACGAUAGCCUCUAAAUCUCUUAGCUAAAGAUCUGACACAUAAACCCUAAUCUCACGAUCUCUCUAUCUCUUUCAAACCCCCAAAACGCAAAGAAAUCUGCCUCGGAACUUCAAAGAGGUCGUUCUCUCAAAUCGUGAGGACCCAGAAAACGAGCAAGAUAUCAAAUCGAAGCCCUCGCCGAGACGAAUCCAUCAGUGCAAACGGCUUGUCGAUCUGACCACCGACGCGCCCUCACGCACAGAUACAGUGUGCGCCGAUUUGUUUUGAAAACCCUAGCUCGUCCGUCUGUUUGCUUUCUCCUUUGCUCGGCGAUUCCUUCCAAGGACCAUACGCUCGUGACAAGUUGAUAACCAAGGUCUUUAGCUCCCGGUCCUAGUCAGUACAACCCCAUAAGGUGAAAGGUAACAUCAAAACCCUAAAGCUAAAGAAUCAACAAUCGAACUUGAAAGUUAAGCAAAGAGAAACUCUAAAAAACGAACCUUGCUUGAUAAGCGAUUGUUAUUUUCUUGGAUGAUCCAAUUGCUUGACUCGUUUAAGUUGCUAGAAAAGUUAUUAUUGCUUAAUCUUAAACUCGCAAAUUGAAAACACUAAGCUAUGGCCAAAACCUUAAAAGCUAAGAAACCCAAAUCGGAUCAAAUCCGAAAUCCCUAAAGUGUAAAUCGAUUGAUUGAGGUUAUCAUAGGUUGUCUUAGAUUGAUUGAUUGGUUGCAUGCUAAAUUUAUAGAAAUCAAAAUCCUAAAAUCGCAUGAACCCUAGAAACCUAGAAAAGGAAGAAUCCCAUUGUGAUGGGAAAAUCCUAAAAAACCCUAAAUCCUAUUCUAAAUAGGAAAAGCUUAAUCCUAAAGAAAAAGGGGAAACCUAAGUAAGAGAAAAAUUCUAAAUCCUAUUGAAAAUAGGAAAUUCUAAAAAUCCCAAAUCCUAAUUAAAUUAGGAAAUUGAUAAAUCCUAUUCAAGAUAGGAAAUCCUUAAGAAAUAGAAAAUUUCUUAAAUCCUAAUUAAAAGGGAAAUCUUAAAAAUCUUAAAUCCUAAAGAAAAUAGGAAAUCCUUAAAAAGGAAAAUUAACCCUAAGCAAAAGAGGAAAAGUUAAUCCUAAAAGGAUAAGGAAAAGUUAAUCCUACGAGAAAGAGGAAAUCUAAUCCUAAAGAGAAAAGUCAAAUCUUUAAAGAAAAAGGAAAAUCGAUUCAUGGUUCGGUCUCAAAUACCGCAUGACACUAACGAUUUGUCCGUGGCAUGAUUUUGACUCAAAACUUUUCCUUAUAGAUGUCGAAUUACAACUUAUAUUUUACUGCCCUAAAUCUCUGAGGAGAUAAUUAUUUAAAAUGGGCAAUGGAUACUAAGAUUAUCCUAAAGUCAAAAGGACUUGGUGAAUGUAUCACAUAAGGCAAUAAUGCCAAAAGAAAAAGAUAGAUACAAGGCAAUAUUAAUUAUUAGCCACCAUCUUAUUGAGAGUCUAAUAAUCCAGGACUAUAAGUCCGUGGAUGAAUUUAUUGCUAGACGAGAAAAAUAAUGAGCUAUUGCUCUUGAAUAGUACAAUGAGACCUUCCGGUUCCAGGGCGAUACCGGAAGCCCACAAAGCCAAAAAGGCAAAAGAGCCUCAAGAGACCAAAGAAACCAACUACGUCCAUAGCGGGUAUCACGGCCGUGACCGUGGUAGAGGACGUGGUGGUCGCGGCAACUAUAGCUCCAACGGCCAAGGAAACUACCAUGGUGGUAGAGGCCGUGGGAACAAUGGCCGCGGUAGAGCUCACGGAAUAUACAAACCGCAACAAAAAGCUAAGUCCACUUGCCAUAGAUGUGCAAUGGGGAACCAUUGGGCUAAGAUAUGUAGGACUCCCAAACAUCAUUGUGACCUCUAUUAAAGAGAGUAUAAAAGGGAAGAAUCCUAAAGCCCAUUUGGUCUAUAACGAUGGUGAACAUGAUCAAGAUGAUCUAAUGGAGUAUGAAACUCCCGAUUGCCUAAAAGAAUCAAGUUGAUAAAUCUGAUUUUGACAUCAUAACCUCUAUGUUUUCUUUGCCAUUUUAUGUGUUCAUUGAUUGUUAUCUCCUUGAAUUUAUUUUAUAUUAUUUUAUGUUUAAAACAUGAUUCUUGUCCAUAUAAGAAAUGGCCGAGGACAAGAACAUACUUGUGGUGGAUAGUGGAGCCACACAAAAGACAAGAGAUAUUUUUCUAAAUCUCAUAAUGAAAAUGCCAAUAUUAGCAUCAUAGCGGGUAUAGCAAGUCUUAUUGAGGGCUACGGCCAAACCCAUAUCUUAUUACCAAAUGGCACGCAUCUUGAAAUAAGCGAUGCCUUGUAUUCACCUAGCUCAAAGAGGAGCUUAUUGAGUUUUAAAGAUAUAAGAUUAAAUGGUUUCCAUAUAGAAACAAAGGGUGAAGGGAACAAAGAAUCCCUAAAUAUAAGUGAGAUCACCAAAGGACAUAAGAAAGUCCUAGAGACUAUACCCGCAUUAUCCACUGGUCUCUACUAUGCUAAAAUCAAUAUGAUAGAAGCUAAUAUGGCAAUGAACAAAAUGCUACAAGAGCAUUUCACUUUAUGGCAUGAUCGGCUUGGCCAUCCGGGUCAUUGUAUGAUGCGUAAGCUAAUAGCUAAUUCAAAUGGGCACACCCUAAGAGAGAAAAAAUUUAUCCCAAAGAAUCUCAUGUGUGAAGCAUGUUCACAAGGGAAACUCAUUAUACGGCCAUCACCGGCAAAAGUUAAUAAAGAGACCUUAAACUUUCUUAGAAUACAAGGGGAUAUAUGUGGACCAAUACACCCACCAUGUGGGACAUUUAGAUAUUUCAUGGUCCUCAUUGAAGCAUAGACAAGAUAGUCGCAUGGUUCGGUCUUAAAUACCGCAUGGACUAGUUUAAAAUCGAUCGCAUGAUUCGGUCUUAAAUACCGCAUGGCCCAGAUCAUAAUGCCGGUGAAUUCAUGUCCCAAGCGUUUAAUGACUACUGUAUGUCCAUGGGGGUAAGUGUGGAACAUCCCAUGGCACAUGUACAUACACAAAACGGAUUAGCGGAAUCCUUCAUUAAACGAAUUCAAAUGAUAGCUCGACCAUUACUCAUGAGGUCGAAGCUUCCAAUAGCCGCUUGGGGACAUGCUGUAUUACAUGCAUCAGAGCUUAUACGCAUAAGGCCAUCUAGUGAACAUAAAUAUUCCCCAACACAAUUAUUAACGGGUCAUGAGCCAGACAUAUCCCAUCUAAGGACAUUCGGGUGUGCCGUAUAUGUACCGAUAGAUCCACCACAUAGAACAAAGAUGGGACCUCAAAGGAGGAUGGGGAUAUAUGUUGGAUAUGAUUCUCCCACCAUUAUAAAGUAUCUAGAGUCAACUACGGGUGAUCUAAUUAAGGCUAGAUACGCGGAUUGUCAUUUUAAUGAAUUCGAAUUUCCAACUGUAGGUGGAGAGACAAACAAGCUGGGUAAAAAUAUAAAAGAAAUAUCAUGGAAUCAAACAUCCUUAAUUUGGCAAGAUCCUCGGACUCUGAUGUGUGAUUCAGAGGUCCAUAAGAUAAUAAAUUUGUAAAAGCUAGCUAAUGAAUUGCCAGAUUCCUUUGCUGACCCAAAGAAAGUUACUAAAGCGUACACACCAGCUUGUAAUGCACCAAUACGUAUUGAUGUCCUAAAGGGAAUAAAUCAAGUUGCUACAGAGUCUAGACAACGUAUAAGACGUGGUAGACCAAUAAAGUUCCAAAGAUAAAAACCCUCGGAAAUUAAAGAAAGGUGCAAUAGGAAUCUGAGGUUACUAAGGAAACCAUCCCAGACAUGGAGAUAAGGCCGGCCGGCUCUAAGGUACAUGUACCAUAUAAUGUAGCUUGGGACGCCAAACUGCAAAGUAUUAAAGGUCCUGACCAUAAUAAAUCUCAAUCGAUUAUAUCAUGUCUGGAACAUAAUGGAACAUAUAAGAAAUGUCGACAUAAGAUGAUUUUGCAUGCAAGGUAGCACUUGAAUAUAUGAAUAUAAAUGAGGAUCAGGAGCCCACGUCUAUACUAGAGUGCACUCAAAGACAUGAUUGAUUAAAAUGGUACAAGACCAUAAAACGUGGAGCUAAGAAUCAUUAAAGAAAAGGAAUGAGUUUGGUCCGACCUUAAGGACACCAUUCGAAGUAAAACCAGUAGGACGCAAAUGGGUCUUUGUGAAGAAGAGAAAUGAGAAUAAUAAAAUCGUGAGAUAUAAGGCACGACUUAUAGCACAAGGAUUCUCACAAAGACCGGGGAUAGAUUAUGAAAAACAUACUCCCCUGUGGUGGAUGCUAAGUCUGGCUAUAUAAAAGACUUGAUUUGCGGCUAAUGGAUGUAAUGCCUGCAUAUUUAUAUAGGUCCACUGGAUAAUGAAAUAAUAUAUGAGAUUACCAGAGGGUAUUGAGCUCAAAGAUAAAGAUAAGAAAGGGUCUCGAGACCAAUACUACAUAAGGCUGAACAAAUCGCUUUAUGGACUAAAACAAAGUGGGCGUAUGUGGUACAAUAGGUUGAGUGAGUACCUAGUCAAAGAAGGCUAUAAGAACAACCCCAUUAGUCCAUGUAUAUUCAUAAAGAAGUUUGCAAACAAAGGAUUUGUGAUAAUAGCAGUAUAUGUGGAUGAUUUAAACAUCCUGGGAACCUCUGGAGAAAUCGCCCAAACAGUUGAAUAUCUAAAGAGAGAAUUCGAAAUGAAAGACCUAGGCAAGACAAAAUUUUGUUUGGGAUUGCAACUUGAGUACAUAGAUAAUGGAAUCCUUGUGCAUCAAAAGGCAUAUACAGAAACAGUACUCAAGAGAUUUAAUAUGGACAAGGCCCACCCAUUGAGCAGCCCAAUGGUGGUGAGAAGCCUAGGAUUGGACAGUGAUCCAUUCGGUCCAAAGAAGGACGAGGAAGAAGUUCUCGGUCUUGAAGUGCCAUACCUCAGUGCCAUAGGAGCGUUAAUGUACUUGGCUAGCCACACUAGACCAGACAUAUGCUUUGCCGUGAACUUCCUAUCGAGAUUUAGCUCAUGUCUGACCCAAAGGCACUGGAACGGAAUUAAACAUAUAUUACGUUACCUACUGAUCGUAGGUCAAAUAAUAAACCUAAAUAUGCAAACUACCGGAUCAAAUACGGUAAUCAAUUGUAGCACUUUAGGGUCGAAUCCACAGGGACCGAUAAGUUACACUACGAAUUUAUGGGAUUAAAGUUAAGCUAAGACAAAAUAAAAUAAGAUUUUGUUUCUAACAGCCUAACAAGAAAUUAAACAAAGCAAAUAAAUAAUAAAAGAAUAUUAGGCAUAGGGAAACCAUCCGGGAUGUGACAAAACAAUUAAAUCAAUUAACAAGGAAUAUUAAGAUAUGUUCUAGAACUCAAUUCACAAUUAUAAUGGUAAGUCACUCUCGCACAAAUACCUACUUAGCAAUACUAAAUUAAAGAACCGCUCUCGCGAGAACCCUAAGUAAAGCUAGCAUUAAAAACAAGAUUGAUUUGUUCACAAGAUGCCAUGGCAAGAACUUUCCUUGCCAAGCCAUGGAAUCUUGCUCGCCUAAUGUUGAUUCCAGCAACUAAACACCACUUUCGCACCUAGUUUAAUCACCUAAGAUCUUAGAACAAGUUAGCUACUCAAGCCCUAAGCAUUAAGAACAACAUUAGAAGAAGAACUAUAAAAUAAAUUCCCAAACUAACAACCUAAUAAUCGGUCACAUCCCUUCAGAAUAACCCUAGCCUAAUAAGGAAACUACUUAAGCAUAGAUACAAGAACAAAGAUGAACACAAAAGGAAACAUCUUUAUUAAAGAAUCUAAACUUAAAAAGAAAGCUAUAAAAUAAAAGAAAACAAAACUAGGGGAGAGCUACAGCUCUCAAAAGAGAGAGCCACUGCACUAAAAAGAUGUGUUUUGAUACAAGGUCGAGCCCUCCUUAUAUAGGAAAAGGGGAGAGCAACAAAAGGAAAGAAAAUAAAUGGAAAACUUGGAGAGGAGGCAAAAAGAGGCGGUGGACCGGUCGAUCCAUGGGCCGGAUCGAUCGGUCCUCAUCUUCAUGGGCUUUGGGCCGAAAUCCUCACAGGAUCGAUCGAUCCUAACAUUGUACUGGUCGAUCCUGACUCCCGUCCACGUCAGCUUUGUCAGCAUGUUGACCUGUCUUCAGUAAAUCAGCCAUAACUCUUGAUUGCACCGUUGGAUUUCCAUGAAACCACUUGGAUAUGAAAGCUAUCUCCCUUGGCUAUCUUGUGUCAAAAUCUUAGCAAGAUCCAACGGUGGGACGCUCUUCUUCUGAGGCCAUACUUCUGACGGGUCUUCUGGACUCUGCAUCUUUCAAUGUAUAUUUGCAUCCAAAUUGAUCCAAAACUCUUCCUUUUGCAAUAAACGCUCUUUAGACCUGUAAUACACUAAGUGAAGCAUAUAGUCCUAUAUUCUAUCUAAUAUAAGUUAGUUGACUCAAUAUACAAACCUAAAUCCUAUAUAGAAAACGGUAAUUUUGGGACUCAUCAAUUCCCCCAGACUUGAAUCUUUGCUUGUCCUCAAGCAAGAAUAAUCAGAAACACAAAUCUUAAAGGAAAGGUUUGAAAACGGGAACUUACAACUUCUCGAGAAUCUUCGUACAUCUUCCGUAAAUCCAUCAUUCAAAGGAUUGAGCUUACAACAUGUAUUAACCAUUGGCUUAGCAACUCUCCGUACUGAUGUCCCGGGAUCUCAAGGAAGCUCCAAAAUCUCCAUUGUUGACUCCCUACAUUCAUUCUUUACAAGCAUGCGGUCUCAACGAGGGAGUAUCGAUCAAAGAUCGCGUAGACGCUUACCUUCCUCUAGCUUCCAAGACAUUCUUCUUAUGGUUCCUUUCCUCCUCUUCCCUUUUACUCUUUUGAGAUCGAUUUCUCCCUUCUUUAGGGUAUCUUUCUAUUUUUUCUAUCGAUCUCUUUUUCUCUUUAGCCCGGGGUUGGUUUUCAUGAGUCCGAAGUAUGCAAGGGGGUAACCAUGCAUCCCUCAGCCCACUUCUUUGUUUACCACAUCCCUUUUAUUUUAUUUCUUUUCUUUUUAUUCUUUUUUCUUUUUCAGGAGAAGAGAGGGGAAUCCAUACUUGUUUUCUUUUCUUUGUUAUGCGCGUCUCGGAAAGCUUUGAGUCAGAGGUCGCGUUUGAUGUAUACCAAGCCCCAAGUUGAGAAGAUUAAGUCCAAAUUAACGUCUUGUCAUGGGUGGAGUCAACGCCAAGUCAAUCGGAUUUCCAAGAGAUAGGGACUUCUGGUGAGUUGUUCGGCUAUGGCGUUCCAAUCUUCAGCUCUUUAAAAGGAUAGUCAUGACGGAUAGCAGAAGAUGUUAGUACGAACACACGAUUCACAAAAGAAGUUCCAAGUUCCAAACCAUUUUGACUCAAUAAAAUGACUCAAAUAAAAAUAAAAAUGUUAGUGCAAAUGGUCACAUUCCUCCCCCAGACUUACUUCACACCGUCCCGGUGUGUAAGAAAAAUCCAAAGGAAGAAUUGAAACCGACAACAAAAGAUAGUUAUAAUAUACAUAAUAGAAAAUCAAAAGCCAAAAGAAAAAGGAAAGAAAAACCAGUGAUCAAACGUUUGGUGUGUCGAGACAAUGUGGCAUGAGUCCUUGUACAGCUCGGAGCAGGGGAUCGAUCAGUCUUCGCGAGGGACCGGUCGGUCUGGAUCUUCUAUGGUCUCGGACUUUGUCAAUUGCCAGGGGAUCGAUCGAUCUGUCGACAGGAUCAAUCGGUCUCCAGUGUCUGGAACAAAAAGUUUCGCAUCCUCUGCGUUUAGUACAUGUUCCUGAAAACACUCAACACCGGACGUGAUUUCACCGUAAUAAAAUCCUAAAACAAAACCAAAAAUAAAGAAAAACAAAAGAUAAAGAGAAAGUAUGUACAAACUCAGUGGGUUGCCUCCCAUAAGCGCUUUUUUUUAAAGUCGUUAGCUUGACUGUGGUGUCAGGCAGCAAGUGGUGUGAGAAUGAGAGCUCGCCGCAAAACAAGCUUUCUCCUAUUGCGAAUGCGGAAGUUCGGCGGAAAGAUAGACUCCGAGCUCGUGUGGCAAGGUGUGGAAAGCCAAGUAUGAGAGCAAAGAGACGGGUCUGUUCAGCUUGAACAGGAGACACUUCAGCUGAUGCAUCGUCCUCUGGGUCUGUCUCGCGUAUCGGUGCUGGUGGUGGAGUGGGCUCGCGUGGAGGUGGAGAUGCAACGCAGCAGAGCCAUGAUGCAAUCCGAGUCAGCAAUGAGUUCUUCUGCUCGGUCGUAUUAUAGACCCAAUCGCUCAAACUCCAAGUUUGGCUCCUUCGGUGGCUCCAUGGCGACGUACUCGCUCAUAUCGAAGUGCAAUGGAGGCAACUGAGAGGAGGAGUAGUGCUGAAACGGUGGUGGCGCGGAAGCAGAAGGUUGAGAAAGGCCAGCCUCAUCAUGAUGGCCGGUACGUGCUACUCUCCGGGUGCCGCUAGUCUUCGGUGUAAUCGGUCUCUCGCAAAGCGCCCCAGCAGGCGGAUUAAAACCAAUGUUCUCGUGGGUCGCGAGAGAUGUCAAAUCAGUACGAGGGAGACGGAUGUACAUAUAAAGCUCAUCAUGACCCUGGAAACGGUAGACUAGUGAAUGGCAGAUAAGGAUCUCGCUAGCAUACAAGUGCACCCGAUCAAUGAAUCGCGCCGUAUUCUCUGGUGGGGGAUGUGCGAUGGUGAAGUGGCAAUGGGUGAUGAUGGGAGUCACCAAGCUACCAAUCAGGAUCACCUUCUUCGAGGAGUAAAGUGCAUUGUUUUGCACCUGGAUGAACUCCGGAACAAGCAACGCGGCAAAGUUGACGCGAUGCGUCUAUGAUACCAUUAAAUUGGGUCUUCGUGCUCCGCGGAAAACCAUAGAGGUUGCAUAGCUGGCUAAGCGUGAUGGUAAAUGGCCGCUUGGCAAGGAAGAAGGAGAUGUAAUCAGCGGUGGCAUCAGGGGGGGGGGUUUCGUCGGAUAAUGAAGUGCCACCGUAACUAGGAACUCAGCAGCGGCUUCAGGGAAUAGAAGCCACCGCUUUGCAGAGAAGCUCUCGAAAUCGGCAUUGCGCAGGGAUGCCUUGACAUCAUCGAGAAUGCCAAUGUCACGCAAAACAUCGGUUUGCAGAAAACCGAGUAGGCUCGAUCUUGCAGGCUCGGAGCACGACGGUGUCAUCCUGAUCCUUUCUCGUCCACUCUCGCUUUCCAGUAGCUGGUUUCAUUCCGCCGUGUUGUCUAGGAGCCAUUUCUUGGGUCGGGAUCGAUCGAUCUCUGGUGUAGACCAGUCGAUCCCGAGGCUUCUGUUCCUCGAUUUAGAUUCAGGUCAGACCGAUCAGUCGCGUCAGCUGGAUCUUCUCGGAUCGCUUGUCUCUCUUCCUGACCUUCUCGGAUCGCUUCUUAGAAGAAUGAGUGUCUCCAUCCAGGACUUCGUUGACAUCAUUCUCAUCACCAAGGUCUCCUACCAGCAUGACAUCCACCGUCUUCAAUUGUCUAUGGUGAGACAAGAGCCAUAUCUUAUAGCUUCACUGGUAUAGGUUUCGUCAUCGAAGACUUUCUCAUUGAUGUUAGAGAAGUCAAUCGUCUUAUUAUGUAGAUCAACAAUGGCACCCACGGUUGCAAGGAAAGGUCUCCCAAAAAUCAAAGGCAUAACAGGACCUUUGGUCAUCUCAACGACAUAAAAAUCGGUGGGAACCAAGCAACUUCCAACGCGGACAUUAAAUUCAUGAAUGAAGCCAUCAUGAGUUAUGGUGGAAGCAUCCGCGAACUUGAUAGAUACCUGAGAAGCUUUCAUAUCAUUGAUCUCCAACUUCUCUGCAAUAACCUUAGACAUGAGGUUCAAGCUAGAUAUGGAACCACAGAGGGACUUGCUGAAGACCUCUCCAUCAAUUGAACAUGGGAAAACAAACUUCCCUGGAUCUUCCAGCUUCGACACCUUAGUGAGAUUCGUGGUGAGAGUAUCCCUUUGUUCUCCUUGAAGUAAUCGUACGUCUUAGCAUCAAGUUGCGUCUUAGAGAUACGCGGAUAAGGACUCUUGGGCUUGUAGGGAACCACAUCAGCUCUAGCAACAACUUGCGUACCAGCAUCAUUCGAAAACAGAUCAAGCACACUCGGAUCCGUCAUCGGGAUCGAUCGAUCUGUAAGGGGAUCGAUCGGUCCUAUCUCUCUGGUCAGUAAAUCAUCAGCGUCGAGGAGAUCGAUCGGUCUAGGAGUUAUAUCGAUCGGUCCUUCGUCGUUUUCGCUCAGGACUCGUGGGUUUGCUGCAGUAUGAAGCUUCGCCUUAGCUCCAGCAUGAACCGUAAUAGCGGACAAGUCAGAGAAGACUCUAGGAUCUCCGUUGUUGGCCUAGGCCUUUGAAUGUGCAGCAUGUGAUGGGAUCGAUCGAUCUACAGGAUGGAUCGAUCGGUCUGCGGUACAGAUCGGGACUGAUUGCUGGAUGCGUUGGAUCGAUCGAUCGUUGUGCUGGAUCGAUCGGUCCUGAGCUUCUGCGAAGGCUUGUACAUCGUCAAUCUCACUUUGAAUCGUGAUUGCAUUGCAGAACUCUUUAGGAUUAGAGCAAGACGCAAUCUAAGACAUCCUCAUGACAAAAGAAUCAACACGAGAAGCCAAACUCUCAAUUGUUUCAUUGAGCUCGAUGUACAUGCUCUCCAUCUUCUCCUUCAUGUCUUGCGCCUCCACAAAACAUCUCGGGCCUCCACAAAACGUCUUGGCGUCGUCAGACCUGCCCGGCGUCGCAAACUCUUUCUUUCUUCUUUUUUUCGACCUUUCACCUGCAAAAAGAGAAAAACCCUAAUUAGUAAACAUAAUAAAAAAUCUUAGACUAAACCCUAAUCUUAAACUCGUAGGCAAGCGUUAUUGGUCCCCGGCAACGGCGCCAAUUUGAACGUAGGUCAAAUAAUAAACCUAAAUAUGCAAACUACCGGAUCAAAUACGGUAAUCAAUUGUAGCACUUUAGGGUCGAAUCCACAGGGACCGAUAAGUUACACUACGAAUUCAUGGGAUUAAAGUUAAGCUAAGACAAAAUAAAAUAAGAUUUUGUUUCUAACAGCCUAACAAGAAAUUAAACAAAGCAAAUAAAUAAUAAAAGAAUAUUAGGCAUAGGGAAACCAUCCGGGAUGUGACAAAACAAUUAAAUCAAUUAACAAGGAAUAUUAAGAUAUGUUCCAGAACUCAAUUCACAAUUAUAAUGGUAAGUCACUCUCGCACAAAUACCUACUUAGCAAUACUAAAUUAAAGAACCGCUCUCGCGAGAACCCUAAGUAAAGCUAGCAUUAAAAACAAGAUUGAUUUGUUCACAAGAUGCCAUGGCAAGAACUUUCGUUGCCAAGCCAUGGAAUCUUGCUCGCCUAAUGUUGAUUCCAGAAACUAAACACCAUUUUCGCACCUAGUUUAAUCACCUAAGAUCUUAGAACAAGUUAGCUACUCAAGCCCUAAGCAUUAAGAACAACAUUAGAAGAAGAACUAUAAAAUAAAUUCCCAAACUAACAACCUAAUAAUCGGUCACAUCCCUUCAGAAUAACCCUAGCCUAAUAAGGAAACUACUUAAGCAUAGAGACAAGAACAAAGAUGAACACAAAAGGAAACAUCUUUAUUAAAGAAUCUAAACUUAAAAAGAAAGCUAUAAAAUAAAAGAAAACAAAACUAGGGGAGAGCUACAGCUCUCAAAAGAGAGAGCCACUGCUCUAAAAAGAUGUGUUUUGAUACAAGGUCGAGCCCUCCUUAUAUAGGAAAAGGGGAGAGCAACAAAAGGAAAGAAAAUAAAUGGAAAACUUGGAGAGGAGGCAAAAAGAGGCGGUGGACCGGUCGAUCCAUGGGCCGGAUCGAUCGGUCCUCAUCUUCAUGGGCUUUGGGCCGAAAUCCUCACAGGAUCGAUCGAUCCUAACAUUGUACUGGUCGAUCCUGACUCCCGUCCACGUCAGCUUCGUCAGCAUGUUGACCUGUCUUCAGUAAAUCAGCCAUAACUCUUGAUUGCACCGUUGGAUUUCCAUGAAACCACUUGGAGAUGAAAGCUAACUCCCUUGGAUAUCUUGUGUCAGAAUCUUAGAAAGAUCCAACGGUGGGACGCUCUUCGUCUGAGGCCAUACUUCUGACGGGUCUUCUGGACUCUGCAUCUUUCAAUGUAUAUUUGCAUCCAAAUUGAUCCAAAACUCUUCCUUUUGCAAUAAACGCUCUUUAGACCUGUAAUACACUAAGUGAAGCAUAUAGUCCUAUAUUCUAUCUAAUAUAAGUUAGUUGACUCAAUAUACAAACCUAAAUCCUAUAUAGAAAACGGUAAUUUUGGGACUCAUCACCUACAAGGGACGAUUGAUUUGGGUCUUUAUUAUACUAACCUUAACAAAGAAGGUUUAGUUGGUUUUGCUGAUGCAGGUUAUCUAUCAGAUCCACAUAAUGGUAAGUCACAAACAGGUUAUGUGUUUACACACGGUGGAACCGCGAUUUCGUGGCGAUCAAUGAAGCAAACGAUUGCUGCCACUUCAUCUAAUCACGCGGAGAUAUUGGCAAUACAUGAGGCCAGCCGUGAAUGUGUGUGGUUGAGGUCAAUGACUCAACACAUAAGAUCAAAUUGUGGAAUGGAAGAGGAUAAAGGACCAACGGUCAUGUACGAGGACAAUGCGGCCUGCAUAGCACAACUUAAGGAAUGUUACAUCAAGGGAGAUCGGACAAAGCACAUUCUACCUAAGUUCUUCUUCACGCAUGACCUACAAAAGGAUGGUGAAGUUCAAGUGGUGCAAGUUCGUUCAAGUGACAAUUCAGCCGAUCUCUUCACUAAGGCACUACUAACAUCAACACUAAGGAAGCUCACGCAUCAAAUUGGAAUGCGGAGACUUAGAGAUUUUCAGAGAUGACCAAAAUAGGGGGAGUAAUGCGUGUUGUACUCUUUUUCCUUCACUAUGGUUUUGUCCCAAAUGGGUUUUCCUAGUAAGGUUUUAAUGAGGCAGCAACCCCCAAGCGCAUUACAGAGAUCCUUUUGGCAUCUACACGGUUAUAUCAUCCAAGGGGGAGUGUUGUAGACCGCAUGGUCGGAUGGACUCGAUAACCGUGGCCCAUACACAUGUUCUAGAAGGUCCGGCCCAGCGGUCCGGCCCAUCGUGAGAAGACAAGAGGAGGUCUAAGUGUUAAUGGUUCAUGGGCCUUGUAUUUCUAGCCCAAUUAGAAUUGUAACCUCCUCAUGUGUAUAUAUAUAUAUAUAUAUAUAUGUUGUAACCUCCCUUCAUAAUCAAUAAGAAUUCACAAGUUCUAUAACAAUUCUAUAUUAAAAUGAUCCAUUUUAAUUAUCAAUAACUCUAUCAAUACACUAAUAAAAUCCAUCAUAGUUAUCAACAACAUAUAAAAAAGAAAGAUUAACUUAAAUGGUGUAGAAAAGUUGGUUUAUUGCUAGCGUGGGAUACAUUUUCUAAAAAUAACUCAUAUGUUUUUCGUCCUUGUAAAAUUACUAUUAACACCCUUGAUUAUUUUUUUUUGUUUUAACUAUAAAAUGAUUUAAAAGAAAUUAGCAUAAUCCACGUCAUUAAUUGUAAUCCCACGCCGACAAAAACUUUAAUUCUCAAAACAGAGGGAAGGGAAACUCAAGAGUCCAUUUUUCGCAACUGUUCACGGCGAGGAAACAAAAAAUUCUCUCUUCUCUUUCCGGCGAUUUCAAACAGUAAACCCUAAGUCGGCCAAAGUAUAGUCUUUUCCGACCGUUUCUCCGUCAUAUUCGUCUCAAUAUCAAGGAACUCAAGUGGGUUUCUUCAUCUUCCACUGAUUCCAAAAAAAUCUCUGCUUUCAUCACUCUCGGUAAGUUUGAAUAUCUCUAUUUGGUUGAGUUUAAACCGUUAUCUGAGGUAUAUGUAGCUUUUUAUCGGUGAUUAUUACGGCUGAUUUCUGCCGUCGUUGUGGCUGAUUUGAUAGAUCUACUGGAUUUGGUGUCUAGUUUAUUACGACUGAGUUACGGGUUGUGUUAGGGCUAAUUUAUGGUUUAUAUUGGUAUAUAUGGCUUUUUAUCGGUGAUUAUUACGGCUGAUUUCUGUCGUCAUUGUGGCUGAUUUGAUAGAUCUACUGGAUCUGGUGUCUGGUUUAUUACUACUGAGUUAUUUUAUAUGUCCUGAUUUUAUAGAUGCAUCUGUGGCUGAAUUUGUUUAUGUCUCGGCUGAGUUAAUAUUUACUAUACGUUGAGUUAUACUAUCCCAAUGCAUUUGUGACUGAGUUAUUAUUCAUGUUUUUGCUGAGUCAUGAUUUAUACUCUGUUCGAUGUAACUAUACUCUGUUUGAUGUAAUCUUCUUAUCAGAUGGAUGAACAAAGGAAUUACCCUCCAAGACUGUAUGCGGAAGGGCAGUCUAAUCUGGAUAAUAAAGAUCUUAACCACAGUGUUCUACUCAGCCAUAUAGAUGCAUUCAGACAUUCCGUAGGUAAAACUGUGUGGAAUGAAAUUAAGAAGCACCCAACUGGAAUAGCAGCCAAAAUCUUUGAGAGAAACAUUAUAUGGUCUGCUAAAACUGUCCACUACCUUCUAUGCAGACAGUUAAGAGUAAGGAAGAAUGAGGUUUGGUUUCUCAUUGGUGGUAAACCUAUAAGAUUUGGGUUGAAUGAGUUUGAGCAUGUCACGGGUUUGACCACAUAUCCGUUGCCUACAGAGCCAUUUGACCCUGAAGUUGAUUACAAAGCGUUUUUAAGAGAAUUGGUGCCUGCUUCUGUAGAAGGAGGUCUCACUGUUGCUCCCACUUUAUAUGAGCUUCUGGAUGGAUUAGGUAAAUGCCGAGAAUGGGCACCACAAGACAUUAGACGUAAAUGGAUGGGGCGGUUGUUCCUAAUAUCAAUUGGUAUCCAUGGACUUCAUCACAACUCUAGAAUACCGUUGGAAUCUGCUUAAAGGGUUUUUGAUGAUGAAGCCAUGAAUAAUUAUCCAUGGGGUCGGGUAGCAUUUCAGUCUCUUGUUGGGUCUAUCAAGACCAUUAGUCCUACCGGAAGGACGUACACCGUCAACGGUCUGGUGUACGUGUUACAAGCAUGGGCUUAUGAAUCUAUCACAUGCUUUGGAGAACUUUUUGGUAACCCAUCCGACGGGGAUAUGUGUCCUCUGUUGCGAUGGAAGGGAAACCGCACACGAAAAGAUUUGUGGACGGUCAUUGAUGAAGAAAUCAAAACAAAUACAUCGGUAAGGUUUUGACUGAGUUAUAAAUUAUUAUGAGUAAUUGACGGUUGAGUUACUGUUAAUUGAUAGCAGAGUUAUAAUUAUCUGUGACUGAGUUAUGGACCACAAAUGACUGAGUUGUGUUUUAUUGAUGGCUGAGUUAUGGUUUACGAUGAUUAUUGUUUAUUAUAUCUGAUGUUGUAGGUGCGUGUGGUGCAUAUGGUUAUUAGAAAUGAUGGAGUGCUAUAUCCUCCUGAGUGGCCUGAUCAACCAGAAGACCAAGAACUUGAUAAUUUGAUCCAAGACUUGUCGAAUGGGAGGUUUGUCCCAGGCUUCUGGGAUCAGAAGAUGCCUGAAAAGAUGAUUGAGAAUAAGAAUAAGAAGAAGAAAAAACUAGCUGGUUUGGAUGAUUCUCAUCAUAUCGCAAAGAAGCAUAAAGGCUUGAAGGAGAAGGAUGUUGAUUUUGAUGAAUCUGUCGGGAAUAAGAAUGAUGAAGCAAAGGUAAUUGAUAUGGUAUAUUGUGUUGAUUUAAUGUUUGGUUAGUUUGGUUAGCUUGGUUAUGCGUUUUUUGUGUAUAUGUGUUGCAGGAUUUUAAUGAGGAGGCAGAUAAUGUGUCCCUUAGAAAACUCAUUAUGGAUAUGGAGGCUAAUUUCAGCUCAAGAAUUGAUAAUCUUGCUACAAGCAUGAACGGCAUGUCUUCACAGCUAGAGAAGGUGGAGAGUGAAUUGACAGAGUUGAACAAGUGGAAAGAUUCAAACCUUUUCCGGCUCAAGGAUCUGUUGGCUGUUAAUUCAUCCAUACCCGGCGACCCAUCCAAUGUGGUUAAAAAAUCAUCUGUACCCGUCGACGCAUCCACUCAGGGAAAAGGUCCCGUCGACCCAUCCCCGCCUACCUUUCCACCGCCACCUAUGAAAUCUGCAAGUAGUCAUCCUCCUCUGGUAAGCUAACAGUGCCAUACCUACGACUGAUUUAUGAUUAUAUCGGCUGAAUUAAAAAGCCAUUAUGACUGAGUUAUCUUAUUUUAUUUGUAAUGUUAUACAGGGGAAGAAGGAUGACAAAAUUCUUGAGAAUGUUCAGAAGAACCUGACUACGAAUAUGGAAGUGGCUGAUACUGAUAAUCUCAUUGAGGUGGUUGUUGCGAAAGAUGAUGGUAAGAAGCAUGUUGGUUUUCAGCGGUCUCCUGUAGUUUUGAGGAAUAAGAGGACAAAUCCAGUAAAGGCCAAAGAGUCCAAAAAAGCAAAAGCACAGGAAAAAAAAAGCAAAAGCAGAUGCCAAUAAAGCUUUAAAGAUAAACAAGCAUUGGAGGGGAAACCAGAAAAAAGGGUAGGGGAAGACCUAGAAAGACUGAUAAUGUGAACAAAUUCAUUGUCAAUCCAGAGCGGAAUGAAGAAGAGUUUACAUCAGCUGAUGAUGCGCUGAAUAGUUUAGCUGCUGAAGCAGUUUCUGAAAAAUUUUGGAAGAAGCUGAUGAUACGCUGAAUAGUUUAGCUGUUGAACCAGUUUCUGAAGCAGUUUCUAAAAAAGCUGAUGAUGCGCUGAAUAAUUUAGCUGGUGAAUCAGUUUCUACAAAAGAUGAUGAUGAUGUAAAAGCUGGUGAUGAUGCGCAUGAGAUAAUUGAUGGAAAACCUGAUGGUGAUGAUGAGCAGAAGAAACUUGAUGGAAAAGCUGAUGGUGAUGAUGCGGAGAAGAAACUUGAUGGAAAAGACAAUAAUGAUGAAGAAGUACAAGAGUCCACACUUGAUGUUCUAGCGGACGACAUGAGCAUGAUACCUGAGUCUGAUGUUGAUGCGGAUGGACAAAUAAGGCUUAAAUUGAUAAGUGAUUUCAGGAAUAAGAGUGUUAAGUUAAAAGAAAAUGGGACUGAUAUGAUUAAACUAAAAGAUAAGCCACCAGGUGUUUUUCCUCAUAUUGGAGAUGACGGAUUGAAGUGCAUGAGGAAGAACUGUGAACCUUUACCUGGAAUAUAUGAUCCUAUGUCACCUGUUGAUCCGGUUAGAUUUAAGAAACUGAAGGAACUCGUAUCAGGAAUGAAGUAUGAUCUAGUUCAUUAAUUUGUUAAUUACAGCUUCUUGUUAACAAUGUUUUAACAUAUUGACUUGUGUUUGUCUGUCAGGAUCAAAUUGGGAAAGAAGAAUGACGACCCUCGUGAGUUCUAUAGGGUCAUGAUUACCCCGAGAAAUAUUUGGCCACACACGGAGUAUGGAUGGCUGGACGAAACUGUAAGUUUUACGGCUGAGUUAUUCUAUGACUUAUUAUUCAUUAUGGCUGAGUUAUUCUAUGACCUAUUAUUCAUUAUGGCUGUGUUAUUCUAUGACUUAUUAGUCAUUAUGGCUGUGUUAUUCUAUGACUUUUUAGUCAAUUAUGGCUGAGUUAUUCUAUGACUUAUUAUUCAUUUUGGCUGAGUUAUGCGUUUUUUCUUUCAGCAUAUCAAUGCCUACAUGAGAGUUCUCAGACGUAGGUUGAUUACAAAACCAUGCCCAUAUCAUAGCGAAGGCAUUGCGUUUGUAGAUCCGUACUUCUCCACUCAUAUGAUCAGAGAUUAUCCUCAGUUCAAAAUGAGACCUAAGAACUUCAAGUUUAAUGGGUUAAACUAUGAAUCUGUAGUCAGAGGUUUGUAUCCCGACGAUCAAAAGACUGGUAAGAUAUGGGCGCUAGAUGUUUGGCAUGUGUAUUUUGUUGUACACACCAGAGGUGAUCAUUGGUUGGCGCUGGACGUGGACAUGAUGCGUGGGCACAUUGAUUGCUACGAUAGCAUUGUGGGAACAGUGACUGAGGAGAAGAGAUUACGAAUUCUUGAAACGGUUAAGCCGUUUAGGAUAAUGAUUCCGUACAUGCUGAACGAUAUAAUCCAUCCCUCCCAACGAUCCCCUAGCUAGAAGCAGUUUACUUUCAGAUGGAAGAGUCCAAAUAAUGUGCCUCAAAACGAUAUACUAGCGGAGGAACCUGAAUUUUAUAAGGGAUUUAUUAACUAAGCAGGCAGAGAAUAUGAAAUUUUAUGUUUUAAUUCUAGGAAUGUUUAUUUUGUGGACAUUUGAUAUAACUCAGCCAUUACGCAUUAUUAGUAAUUCAAUUAACUAUAUAACUCAGCCGUUACGUUAACAUAAAUCAGGCAUGAAGCAUUAUUAAUAAAUCAAUGAACAAUAUAACUCAGCCAAAAUGAAUCUAUAAUUAGUAGUACAUUAUUAGUAAACAAUAUGACUCAGCUGCCAUGAGAUAAAUAAAUCAGCCAUGAAGCAUUAUUGAUACAUCAACAACGGAAAUUUGCCGCCAAAACAUUAGUUAACAAACUUUGGCGCGAAACAAUAAGUUAACAAACGUAACCUUUCGCAUUCCUCUCAGUUUUUUUUCUCUAUUUAUAUUAGAUAACCCUAAGUUUCAUCACAUGCAUAUUCGAUCUUAUUCACCCUUUCUGUUACAUCUUCUUAUCGACAUGGAAGUUGUUCCUCAAAUCAGAAGUCAGUUUCACGGAGAUGUUAAAGCGAUCAUAUACGCUGCUGAUCGUGAGAAUCUCUCCGUUCUAAACCCUGGUGGUGGUUUUGGUUUCAAUCUUGACAAAACCUCUGACACGUUUAAAGAGUUCGAUUUCAAACUAUAUUGCGCAUUCACAGAUAUCCUGAGAGACAAUUGGGUGCAUGCGUGGCCGACUUCUCGCUGCAUUCCAUUCCAUUAUAGGAAAUAAUGGUUUUUAACACUCGCGGUAAGCAAGCACCGAUAUUUCCCUUGAUAUUAAGCAGACUAAAAUCUUAUUUUGACUCUUAUGAAUAAUAUAUAUAUAUCUUUGAUGAGUAGCGUCAAUACACGUGGGAUCCGAGACAUACUUUUACGGUGUGGAAGCAGUUUAAUUUGGUGGUUCGAGAAGUAUACGGAGUAGAGAUUCGUUCGCUCAUUUGGAAGAAACGAAAUUAUGCCGAUAAGCCCGACUGGAUGAAUGAGCAAGUGUGGAAAGAUUUCUAUUACAUUUUUAUGAAUUUAGGUUAUUAAAAAAAAAUGAAAUUUUAUUGUAUUUUAUUUUCAAUUAAAUGAAUGAUAUGUCUAUAUUUUACCCAUUUUAAGCAUUCAUUUGUCAUAGUUUUAGUAUACCUUCAUCGCAUAUUCGUUGUGUUCUCAGUCCAUUUUGCACAUUUUGCACACUUAGUAGUAUUUGCAUUAGUAUUGCAAGCAUACAUGCAUUUGGAGUUGUUAUUAGGUGUUUUGGAGCUCUCAAAGGCUAAGGAAGGAUCUGAUGCUAUCUCUGGAUCUAAACAAGAGGAUUGGAAGCAUCAAAAAGUGAAGAAGAAGCACUCGACCACCCCACUCGACCGUUGACACCGAGCACUCUAUUGGAUUCAUGACAAGAAAUUCAAAGAUCGACUUAAAUGAAGAUCUUAUGUUGGGAUUUAGCUUCAGAGAUCUGCAGAAACGUUGUGGGCAAUCGAGUGAGCUUUCUAAUGCCAGUAAAAUCAGGCCAAUCCGAUACGCGGUUCAAGAGUUAUGGCUAGUUUAGUGAAGCUAUAUACAUCCUGAGCUCGACCCAGCCAGCUCGACCCCGUAGCUCACCAGCUCGAUCGAGCUGUCUUCCGUUGGAAUUAAGCUUGCGAUCUCUUCAUCAAACUUGUGGGCAAUCGAGUUAGCUUUCCAAUGCCUUUGGUUUCAAGUCAAUCCGAUAUGCGGUUCGUGAGUUGUAGCUGUUUUAGUAAAGGUAUAUAUUCGGAGCUCGACCUCACCAGCUCGAUCGAGCUGUCUUCCGUUCGGAUUCAGCUUCAGAGAUCUUCACUGAAGUUGUUGGAAAUUGAGUUAGCUUUCCAAUGCCAUUGGUUUCAAGUCAAUCAGAUAUGUGGUUCGAAAGUUAUAACUGUUUUAGUGAAAGUACAUACAUCUAGAGCUCGUGCUGCAUGAUCGAAUUUGGGACUCGGGUUAGGACAGAGUCAUGACCUUAAAACAGAGCUCGACCGAGCUGAAGCAGUGGAGGUCAAGCUGGGAGUCGAGUGCGAGAUCGAGCUACGAUAAAUUUGGAGUCUUGAAGAGGAGCUCGAUCGAGCUCAUACAGAGGCGUCUGGGCUGGGACAGAGUGAUCAACUUGUGCAGAAUUCAAGCAAACAUGUGCAGACCAUAGUAACCAGCUCGAUCGAGCUGUCUGAAGCAGAGAAGAGCUCGACCAAACAACUCGAGCUGGGCUUAAACUGACUUAAAAUCGUUGACUUUGACUAGGGCUUUCACAAGUUUAGUAUAAAUAUGUCUCAUUUGUUUAGACUUGAUCAUCUUCCUUUUUAGCUAUUUUUAGAACUUCUCUCAAGAACAAAAACGUGUCUAAGGCUUUGUAAUUCGAAUUCUCUUUUAAUCUUUUAAGUUUUUAUAGUUUUGUAUCUCUCUUUUAUGCUUUAGUUGUUAUAAUCUUGUUAAUCUCUCUUUAAUCUCUUUUCAUAAUGUUGCUAUUUGAAUUUUCUGGGUUUGUGUUCUUGAGCUUCAUGAUUUCUGAGUAGUGUUCUUAGAGUUCUUGAGGUUGGGUGAGAUCCAUGGAGUUUUCUUAGUCUUUUCUAGGGUUUUGAUGUUUAGAUCUUCUAGAUCCCUUCUGGAUUAGUGUUCUUCAUGCUAGCUUCUUUCUGAUCAACUCAAGCUUGAUCCGAGGUAUUUCCACCCGAGAGGGCUUGGUGAAAUGCCUGAUCUAGCUAAUACCGGAGAUUUGCAUAUCUAGCCUAAGAGAUUAGUUGUCUGGAUUGCUUUUUGGCAUUGAUAGAUUGGUUCCUAAAGCCUGCCUUGUUAUGUUUCUCUAAAGAGAUUUAGGUUUGGAGGUGACUUGGUUUGAGGGUCUCUGUCACGAGAGUGGAUUGACCUGUAGUUGAAUCUUUCGUCUAGGGAUAGCUUUGUUUAAAGUUUUAUCGAAUUUCUAAGUUAGACUAGGCGACUUCAUGGAUCAUUGAUACCCAACCUCACGAGCUCUCUUUUAUCAUCUGUUGCAUCAGUUUAUGUUUUGCUUGAUUGGGAACCACCUUCCACUUUCCUGCAUUGUCGGUCUCGGCAGCCAAUUUCCAGCCCUCGCAGUAGGAAGCGACGGAAGAGCUAGAUUCGACGGAGCUCGGGAGCUUAAUGAAGGAAGGGACACGUGAAGAGAUUGUUGGAUUAAAGACGGCGAAUAAAGCGAGGCUGAAGAAGGAAAUUAAGCUGCUACGAGAAAAAGCCAUUGGAGAGACUUUUUACUCAAUUAUUGUAGGGAAUGGAACAUGCAGAAGUCCCUUUUUCCAUGUUUAUAACUUUUAGUUGCACCAAUCAGUCAAUGAAGUGGCAAACCGAACCAUUUUAUAUUUCCCUAAAAAAAGGCAUUUACAAUGUAAUUUUUACAUUUUUAACCACUAAAAAGGCCAAAAGAAACAGCCUGACCAAAUAAUAAAAUAAUUUAUCUUGUCGAAAGUCACCGAACCCUUUAAUCCCCAAAUGCACUUGAACUUCCUUUGCAACAAACAGGCUUUGAAGGUUUAGUCUUGUGAUGUAGCAGAGUAUUCAAAAAGCAAACGUUUUGAAGGUGCGGAUUGCAGGAGGACACGCAAGCGGCUCGUGAGUUGAUAGAUCAGUGUCCAUUGCAUCGCCAUUUCAGAAUCUUUCAUCUGUCUUACCACAGAGGCCUGUAGAUAAAAGACAGUAAGAACCGGGUGAUGUUUAUUUACUUGCCAUACGGAGAAGAAAGAAGAUUAAAUGUAUAUGCCUGACCUGAAGACGUUUUCCGAGCUGCACUUCAACUUCGGUUCCAAAUGAGAUGUUGCUUGCCAGAGACUUGAGAGGAUCAAUAGUUGGAUCAACAGAGAGUAAACUUGGGAUCUGUGGGGCGUACACCAACCUCCAUCUUGCUUGACCAAACUCUCCUUUCCCUUCUAUCCUUGGCAUUAUGGUUUCAAGUGUUGCGGUUGCAAGUUUUUUGAAAGCAAGUUGUCCAUCUCCUUCUAAUAUGGAUUCUGCUAAUUGGCUCUCGAAAACCUUUGCAGCCUGGAUUGUAAACAGAGAAUUUCAUCAACACGAAAACCGUAACAACAUUAUUAAAUUUAAACUAGCGUUUUGACGUCAAAGUACCUCGGAAGGUGAGAGAGCAUCCUGUUCCACAGAACGAGUUGAAGUCACCACAAGUUUUUCCUGCCAAUUGCUGGCACGACUUUGGACCCUAAAUUGCCAUUCUGAACCAACUAAAGCUAAAUCUAGCAGAGGAUCUAGUCCAUGUUCAGGCUCAAAUUUUGCAAUGUUGAGAUGCUCCCUCUUCAGACGUACCUGUGUUUAGAAAACAAAAUAGAGGGUAGUUGAGGACAGCCUGUGUGAAGUUUUGCAAGAAGGAAUAAAUGAGUUCACGACAGAAAAUCAAACAGAGAUUUAGACAAAACCUGAGUAGCCACAAGAUUGACAUCUCCAUUCUCGAACAUCAGGAUACCCUUUGGUUUGAUAUAUUUGGGAUGAGCCAUGCCAUCAAGCUCAAGCUCACCACUAACAGCAAAAUUAAGAAUUAAAGGAUACACUAUCCUCAACUCUGGUCCUAAAACAAGUUUCAUAUCACUCAGACGGAUAUCCAUAUUUGGUUUCAUUUUCACUUCGUCAAUCUCCUUUUCAACAGCAUUUGAUUCACCUGUGGUGGGUCAAACAAGCAGAGAUCAUUACAAAGUUUUACCUACAAAGUCCAACUACAACUAAAAAAGAAAACGCUCAUCGAAUUUUUGCUAGUAAAGACAACAGUUACCAGAAGACUGGGAGAAUUUCAUCCUUGAAGAAGCCGGUUCUGUACCAAAAAAUCGAGCAAAAUAUCGUGAAGCAACUGCUUGAUUAAUAGCACCACCUGGAAUCCUAUAUUGAUUGGCAGCCAAUCUAUUGAGUGGGGCAGCUCCCCCACCCUUAUCAUGAGGCAAAUAAGCUUCUCCCUGGCUUAAUUUAAUACUUCCUGAUAUAGUUGGCUGCAACAUUGAUCCAGUAAUUUGCAGCUGCGUAUCAACCUGACCACUAUUUUGGAAACACAAUCACUUUCAUAAGGAAUUAGAAAAUGUUAUAAGCUCAGUAACAUGAGUCCAGAAGAAAAGAAUUUAAGAAAUCUAAACAGAUCCAGGAUAAAGUAGAUACAUCAACAGUUCAAGUAAGAAAGCAAUUAAUCAAAAUUAUGUACUACAAGCUUGAAAUGAUUGACAGCAGCGUUGAUUGCAGCGUGUACCUUAAGAAAUUCUUUGCUCGUACUUCAAGAACUUCACAUUUGAGAUCUAUUCCAUCGCCAGUGGCUGCUUCAUUUGAUCUAAGGGGAAGAUUUCCUUUAACAACCAGCUUUCCUCUUCUACUUACUCUGCUUUCCAAUGAGCUGAUGCACAACCUGUUUGAUUUAACAUGUAAGGUCCCACCGAAGUUUGUAAGAGGUUUACGGAGCACAGGUGAAGAUAUAGAUGCCCUGUUGAAUGAAGCAGACCCAUCAAGAACAGGAUGCUCCACUGUACCUCCGACCUGCUCAGCAGAUAGGGUAUACGUAAAUGAGUCCGACCUUCUAUAAUGUUUAAGGACAUGAACAGAUCAAUUAAACUAUCUUUUGAUGUCAAAAUAACUUAACAAGAGUACAAGCUAAUAUUUUUUGGCCAACCUGAAGCCGGAUAUCAGCAUUGCCUUGUAGCCAAUUAGCAUAAGGAGAUAUGGCUGUCAACAAUGUCAUCCCCCCAUCCUUGAUGUCUGCCUCCAAUCUAACUUCUCCUGCAUCUAAAAUAUUCCAGUUCAAACCUUUGAGACUCUCAGCUAGUUGGCUGUCCCAUCCCUCUUCGCCCCUAUCCCUUGAGGUUCUCUUCUCAUCAUCUUCCUUUUCUUUUGCCCAGCUAGGGACUUUUACUGCACCACCUCUAUCAGUUUCCCUGUCUU